UCAAGUUGUGUAAGGCUACAGGGACCUGCCUCUAAGCCUCCUGUAGUCUGUCACUCACUGAUACCCUGCUGAUACCGUGCUAGGCUCUCCUGUCUACCAGACAACCUAGAAAUCUCUGCAAUCCCUCCUGACCCCUACCCCUGUCCCCAAAACCUUUUAUCUCCCUCUUUACAAAUCACUGUCUGCCCAAAUUCGAAUACUGUGAUUAGGUUUGUUUUGGUUUUUUGGUGGUUUUUUUUUUUCGGUUUUGUUUUUGUUUUUCUUGUUUUUUGUUUGCUUGUUUGUUUUCUUUUCUCCUUAAAUGCAAACCUCUUGGAUUGUUUUUAUCAUCCCCUUCUAGCAGGAAGCGCAAGAGCACAUAGUAGCCUCGAAUAAAUAGUAAAUGAGUAUGUGCUAUGGAAAAAAAAUACAUUCUCUCUCUACCGCUCAAGGCCUGGGAAGAAUCAACUACUACAGAAGAGAAAAUAGGUGUGGGGAUCCAAAAAAAAGAAAAAGAAAAAAACCUCCGAUGAGAGAACAGGUCAAAGAAAAGAGGCACCUCCUGUUUUGGUGCCUCCCUUAAUCUUUCUUAAAUACAAGGACAAGUGAAACAUCCCACCACUUGAAAAGGAGAAAUAGUGUCACUUUGUAGCCAGCAUCUGUGGCUAAGUAAACAAAAGACAUUUCUUUAUCUGUGAGAUUCUCCCCCCUUUAUUGCUUAAAGAGGCGAAAUGUAGUCUACCCCUUCCGCUGUGACCUCCGUUUUGUUUUGUGCUCCUAAACCAAAGUCACUAACUGUUCACAGUGCCCCCCCACAAACAUUGAGGGAUCCACCCCACAUCUUCAUCUGGCUCAACAGCCAAGAUCAAAACUGCAGUAGAUGGGGCCUCCCUCUGCUCCACCUCACGUCGACUGCAAAUGAAGCCGUAGGUGGUGCAUCUCAUCAAGAAGACCCUAUCUUCCUGCUAGAAAGAAUUCUCUCCUCUAGGAAACAAUGUGCGGCAGCCACAUCUAGGUCUUGGGUAAAGAACAUCACUCCUGGGGGUUGGGGGGGCACCUCUUCAUAACUGACGUCUCUUCUCCUGGCUUGUCUCCCCCUUAGCCACUAAAAGAAUCUUUUCAGAACACAGCUCUCCUAGAGUAUAUGCUUAGCUGAGCCAAGAGGAAAAGUUAAAACUAGGGCUUUCCCUCUAUGUUGCUUUGAACCCCUCACUAGAAUUUCAUGGAAGUCCAACUUCUUUGGGUUACAGAGGAAAAGCAACUAUAACCUUCCUUGAUAUUUUAAUGUACCUCAUCAUCUCCAGCCUAAAGAGAAAGCCUCCUAAGAACAAAGAUAAGGACAUCUAUAUACGUGUGUGUGUGUGUGUGUAACAAAUAAAUGAGUAAGAAGACAUCUUUGUCAUCAUGAAGUCUACCUUUCAAAGCCAAUUAUAAAAGAGUUAUAUCUCCGUCCCCCCAGAUGUCUCUGUCUUAACAAAACCAAACCCCUGGAUCCCAGAGCCUUUCUUCUGCUAAUUUCACUCUUUCUAUACACAUUUCCCCAGAUGUGUGCCACUCACUGCCUUCCAAAGGGAACUGAUUCCUAAAGGUUUAUGGAAAUAAAUACUCUCAUCUGGCUCCAGCAAGGUUACUAGAUCUCUAGGGAGAAGAUUAGCCAGGUCUGUUGAAUAAACACGUUCAUCUGACUUAAACUGGUUCCCACUUCUCUCAGCAGGAAAGUCAACAAAGCUGGUUGAAGCUGGAGGAUAGACAUCCCAGGCUAAGCUUUUUAAAAUCUCUCUGCUCUUUUGUCCACUCUCACCAGCCUCUCCUAUAAGGGAUCAUUUGCAUACUUGGUAUGAGGCAAGUGGGUCCCUCUCGGGAAUAAAUGAGUAACUCCUUCUCUGUCUGAUGCUUGCACCCCACACAAGAGGACUGCCUACUCCAAGAUAGUGGGGAGGCUACUUCAGAAGAAAGAGAGGAGUUGGUAUCUGCUGACUCGGUGGGCGGGUUCUAUCCAAUGAGGUCAGAGGAGAGCUGUUGGCAGUUUCCGUUAAAUUCUGUUGGGGCCGGCAAGUGGCCACUGGCAGUUAGUUCUGAGGUGGCGCUAAGGAUGCUGGGAUAGAUUAAGUGAGAAGCUGACCCCUUACAUCAUGAGCCUCACACAAGUCCCCAACGAAAUGGAAUACAAGAGUGAAGGGCAGUCACAAAUAAUGCCAAGGCCCCUUGUUAGUCUUUGGCUUCCAUAUCCUUCCUCAAAACUUCAAGUGCUCAUAACUCAGCAUCUCCACCUCCUGUCAAGGCCUUGGUGGCAAGGCCUGUAGGUAAAGCUGAGGAGUAAGGAGUACAGAGAAUGCAGAUAUUGCCCUAAGCAUUGUAGUCAGGACACUGACAUCUGUAAACGAGUCCCCUCAGGCCAGGUCUGCUAAGAAAGUGCAGCCUCUCAGCCUCAGUAAAGUGGGCAAGUUGAAGUAAGUCCGGACGGUCAAGAGACAUCCUGUACUCCUUCCCACUUAGUGCCAGAAAGUCUCAUGAAGAUCAGUCAAUUAAAUAGCAAGAUAGGAGUCAUUUAGACACGUCUUCUUGGAAAGCUGGUUAAGUUCUCUACUAGUGUGUGAUAUUGGAGCUCCGGCUCUAAAAUGAAAAAACCCUGAAUUUCAAUUCUGGAUCGUGUUGGAAACUAGAAAAGACUUUAGACAAGUUACUUAACCUCUUUAAACCUCAGUCUCCUCAAUCUGUAAAAUGGGGAUAAUAUUGGGUAAAGCACUAAACGGUGUAAGGAAUAGGCAUCAUGUUCAAUCCAUGGCUACCUUCCAUACUCCUGUGUCCCACUCUGCUACUCUCUCCUCUCUUCCUCUCCACAACAGCAUUGCCUAUAGACAACGUGAAGGGCUCCCCACUCCAAAUUAGGCAGCAUCAGACAGUCUAGAAAUGUCUAAGCAGACUUGACAGUCCAACCAGCCUCCUAGGUUUUGGAGAAGCCUAAGAAGCUGGUGAUGUGUCCAGAAUCUCACAUGGAUAUCCUACAAAAGCCAGUUAGAUCUUUUAGAAAAUGACCCUCAACCCUCUUUCUAAAAGAACCACAAGUACAUUUUGCUCAUUUGGUUUCUGAAAUGGAUGCUGGAUUGCAGAAAGGAUCAGCUGGGUAUUGAAUGGCGAUACCCAGCACCCAGCCUGUCUAUGAGCCACUUCAGAGUGCCUUGAUCUCUUGACAGAAUCUUCACCCUUUAAGACUUCAAGUUUCAGUGGUUUGGUGAUGGCCAGGUGGAAGUUGCAGACAAAACCUCGAUGGGGCACACUAGGAACGCUUUCAAUAAUGAUUCACAGUUAACUAGUGUGUGUGUGUGUGUGUGUGUGUGUGUGUGUGUGUGUGUGGCAGGGGGUGUCCUUUCUCCCUCAUCUUCAAUACGGUGGGCAUGUGGUCUAGGAAAAGUCUCAAUCUCUCUCUUCACCCCAGGAGUAAUGGGAAAAGGGCAGGGCAAGGACUCUGUCAAACCUCUCUGCUCUUUUGCUGGUUGCAUUCAAAGUGAGGAAGCCAGGAGGAAGAUACCUAACCAUCCAUCACUGUUGCAGAUGCCAAUUGAGUCUUUCUCUUCCUUGCCUCUGCUUCAGUGUUCACCUGUGCUUCUGACCCAAACUAUGCCCCCACUGCUAGGCAUCCAGCAGCACUUCGCCUGCCAAAGGGCUUCCUUUUCCAAAUUUAUAUACAUUUGUGGUAGGUAACAUUUUAGAGGCAUUGUUUCUAAUUCCUUAGGAGAAAACCACAAUGGCUACAUUCCCUAUCAAAGAAGGUUUUCAGGAGACUAUGCAAGUUGAGUGCUGGUGACGGGCACACUCAUGAGGCUGGGCUGGCAGGGACAGUUUGGUUUUCUGUGUUUCUUCCUUCACCGUUCAGGAAAUCUCAGCUCCUUCAGUAUUGAAACGACACUUAGGUAGGACAAAAGGCUUCAGGGAGGGACUGGCAGUGUGAGCAAGAGUAGGGGAACCCCUGUCUUUCACCAAAGAGUAUAAAAGGAUUACGUCAUACAUGACUCCGGAGUGCUCCCCAACAGUGAAUGUCCACCAUCUCCAUCCUGAUGUUCUUAAGUUUCCAGUUCGCCUAGCCAGGCUCUGAUUUCUGAAGCAAGUAAAGCUAAACCCUCGAAUCGUUUGGGAAAUGAAGGUAUCUGGUUAAGAGACAAGAGUCAGAGCAGCUCUUUUGUCCUCAGCUCUCAGGUCCUCUGCCCAUUCACUUGGAGAGGAAGCAGAAAAACAAGCCGAUGAAUGUCAACCGAAGAAGACUAAUCAGCUAUGUGUGGAGACCCUUCUUGAUAUUGAGCAACUUGAAAAUGAAAACAAGGCUCGAUGCCCCAACCCUCAACCCCAAAAGCUUGGAGUUUAUAAGCACCUGGAAAGGGGGAAACUACCUAUGGGUCCCAAGUAGGGAUGACUGGAAAGAGGCUCAAACCAUGGGAAAACCCACAAAGGCCUAACCGAGCAACUGAAAGCAAACCUUCAAACUAUUCUUUUUCCCACAAAGGGGAGGCCCAUCUCCUUCAUAGACCUCAUGGGGCCUGUCUGAACCAAAUGCAAAAUGCAAAUCCAAAUGGAACAAUAUAGAAAAGAAUGAAAGAUUUGCCCACAGUUCUGAUUGGCUCAAAGGACAACUUACAAAGGCAUUUGGGACUGGGCUUGCAUGUUAGCAGCACAGGUAAAUCUCUCGAAAGCAUGUCUUCAAUAAUGUCACAGGGUCUCUUGUGCCUUAUGGGGAGAGACAUUCAGUUCCAGUAAAAGGAUCCCUGAAGUUUCUGAGGGUAGGCAGGCUGCAUAGCUCAGGGUCUAGUCCUUCAGUUCCAUCCCCACCCCUUUCUCUGGAGGUUGGCGAAGUAUCUCUCCUAAGCAAACAUUGGCUAGCUCUUGAGAGCAAGGAGUAUGAAAUUUUCUAAACAGUAGAACUGAAAGACAGAGAGCCUCAAGGUUCACAGGUUGAAGAGUGUAUGACUGAAGCACUAGUGAGCAGAGGCAAAGUGGAAUGAGAGCCCUCGGUGUCAAUAGUCUCCAGACCUGGGUAUUGCCCAUGUUUAUUCUCUUCUGUAAUGACACUCAAGAUCUUUUGGUGCACGAGUUCAAUGCUAAUAUUUUCCAUGUUUUCUACAGUGUAUGGUUUUGAGCUCACACAAAAAUUUGUUGAUGCAGCAAGGGUGAGCUCAAGGUUAAGGUGUGCUUAGCAAAGUCUAGACAGUGCCUUAGCCCAGGAAUCAAACGAUUUAGAGCUUGCAGCAGUAUGGGGACCCCUUGCUGGCCGUAGCCCAGGGUGCCAUCUGAAGCCUGUCUCUCUCUUCCCUGCCUCUGGGAGCCCAGCUAUGCACCGGCUGAACCUGGGAUGUCUCCACACUCAUUCUUAACAAAGCUCACUCAUCUACCAAUGGAUGAACAAAAGACAACAGAAUCACCUCCCCGUCAAAAAAAGAAAUACUAACUUUGUGUUUAAAAAGUGGGCUCUUCUGUUUUCCAAAACUGGCCAUGGCACAGUCCCACAAAAAUUCUAUUUCUGUGGCCCCCAUGCUGUCAUAGCAGGCCCAUCGAGGAUAGCCCUCCCCCACCCCACCCCGCCCCGACCCGCCCUGCCAGCACACCGCAGGGCUGUCUCCUUGAAUUAAGAGAGCCCACAGCUUCUGUUGUUUGCCUUCCUUCCCUGCUCAAGGAUUUCAGUUCCUUUGCCCUGGUGACAUAUUUUUUUUCCUUCUUGUACAAUCCUUGGAGGAGGGGUGGUCACUUUGGGUGUUUCAGCCCCUUCUCAGCCGAUCCCCCGCCGCUAGGUCUCCUAGGGGGUUAGGUGCAUUCAACCCCAUUCUGCAGCCUUCUCUCCAAGGCACCUUCCUGACCCCCUCCACUUGCACUUCUUACUCUUUGUGCUCACCCCACAGGGUCACACCCUUGCUUUUGGUGUCCACCGUACCCAGGGCCACGCCCUUUGCUCUUGAUAUUCGCUUUUAUCAGGAUCGCACCCUUUGCUCUUGACUAUAUCAGAGCCGACCCUCUUUCUUUUGGGCCUUACCCCAUCAGGUUAACUCAAAAGGAUGGAUCACCUGGCCGGUUCAUAAGGAAAACACUGUGAGCUGGGGGGUCUCGCCGGGCAAUGCCACUCAGGAACUGGGCUCUAUGCCCUCACGGCCUGACAGUGAAUCUGCACAUGGUUUCAGCCUUCUGGGAGUUCCCAAAGUUCUGCUGAAAUCAGUGUGGAUGGCAAACCUUCGAGAUUUUUGAGUGUUCCCUUCUUGGCACAAGAAAUGGUUAGAUCUUGGAUCACCUCCUAAAAUGUCCAGAACAUUUCACUGAGGGACUCUGUUCUCUAAUCACUGCGACAAAAAUUGUAGAGAAAAGGGAGGCUGGAAUUGGGGUGCAGGGAACACUUCUGUGGAGGUGCAGUGGACGUGGCUUCCCUAGGAUGCUUGGAGGAUGCAUGCAGUAACGCCACACAGACUGCCCACUGGGACCAGUGGUUAUCCCUUCACUGUAAAGCAGGUAGCUUCUAUUAUCCUCAUUUUACAAAUGAGGAACUAGGCUCAGGGACAUCAAGGAGUCUCCUUUAUGUCACAAAGCUAACAAGAGACAGACCUGGACCUGGAAAUUGGACCAGUGAACCCAAAGGUUCAUGAUCUUUUUAUUACCUUACACACCACUCUCCCAACUGUGUCACUGGUAGGGCCUGCAAGGUACAAGUGGCAUAGGCCAAUCACCUGAUCUCUUAAAGGUUUACAUUUUCAUGUCUUCAGUAGAAAUUCUGUCUGCUCCUCUUCCUUCCACCUGUCUAGCAAUUUUUAAAAGAGUAAUUAAGAGAAGGUGGGAGAAAGCUAGCUAGCUUAACCCACCUUCCCUUUCGCAGACAAAGUGACAAGGUGCUGCAAGAGAGGGUCUGGAGGUGACCAGCUAUAUACUCAGGACAGAGCUCAGAGACCAGGCCAGGUCACUCACCCGCCUCCUCUGUCAAAAUAGGUGAUGGGCAGAGCCUGAACUGGGGUGGCGAAGGGAGUAAGAGCCAAGACUGCUGGUGGGGGGUAAGCAGGUCAUGUACAAUAUAGACAAUGCAGUCUUUCCAAAGUCAAGGCAGAAUAGAGAGAAAGGUGUCAGUCCACACAGAGGCAGAGAAGCCAGGGUGGCCACUGCUAAGGAUCUGAUGCACCAAGAUGAGCUUCAGACCACGUUUGCUGCCUGAGCUGAUGACUGAUUCCUCAGGACGCUUUGGCCUUGCAUCUUUUACCUGGUCCCUAAAACCACGAUGACGUCUCUCCAGUGCAUGCUCCACUCCAAAGACAGCAGCACCAGGCAUUCCUUAGACACUGGUCACCAUGCUUUGUACCCUGUGACACCACCACCCUAGUCAACACAGGUUUUCUAGUAGGCAGCUGGCUGGCAUCUCAGCAUACAGCAGCCACUUUGCGACCUCCCAGCACAGUGACUUUGCUGGAGCAUCUGUCUAGUCCACGACCCCCAACUCAUCCUCCCUCUUAUGAAGUUGCAAACUGAGACCCAGCAGAGAAGCAAAGCAAAAGCCAAGAGGUCCAGUGGGAACGGCCGGCAGUGGGGUUUAAAGGCCAAAGAGAUGACCCUGCUGACAACAGAGCUGAAGGAUGAGACACUGUAGAGGUGGUGUUAUAUGGUGCCUAACGUACCCCAAGGUUCCCAUUUGAAUUUCCUUGUUUGAGUCUAUAACCUUCGAUAAGCCCACAUCGCCUAAGGAGACUAAGCACAUCACUCCUUUGUGAUACUGGAGAAGGUCCCAGUAAGUUGCUGUGAGAAGCCCACCGUGGUGUCUCUGAAGUGACACAAACCUCCAUUUUAAUGUCCACCCACUGGAGUAGAUAGAACAGAUGCUGAAGGACAGACUGAGGGUGGAACGUGGCUGGGGAAAUUGAUUCAACAAAGGAGAGGACACAGCUCUGAAGGGCUGACCAGAACACCAACUAGCAGGGCCCUAGCCAAGAGGGGUGAGCAGAGCAAACGGGCAAAGAUACUGACACUGUACCAGAGGUGAGGGCUUGCUCUACGUGUGCAUUUGUGGAAACGAGAUUUCCCUGUGACCUGGACAAGGGCUGGCUCCCCUGAGCAUAGGAAGGGUGCACUGAGAAGUGUGAGUGUGACCAGUUGGUUACCACGACAGAUUACUCCCAGCCCAUUUUAAAGUGACGCUCGCACAUGAAGCAGAGUCUCUGGAUUCUCCCAGCGAUAGCAAGGUCUCUGAGGUCAGAAGCCAGAACCUAAGCCUUCUUCUCCAAGCCUCAAAGUAGUGGCCUCCAAAUGGCCCACUUGAAUCAGCAGGAGCCAACUAGACUCAGGAGUCUGUAUUUACAAGCGUCCUCAGCUGCCUACACUAACACUCAGUAACAUUUACAAACCUCUGCCCUGAGGGGUUAGCCACUGGACUCCAUUCAGUGCCCAUUGAGGCAAUGGGUCUUCAAGAGGUUUUUUUUUUGGGGGGGUGCUUAAUCAUAUGAGGGCUGUGAAAAGAGGGAUGAGACUAAAAGGGGGAAGGGCCAAGAAGUGGGGGGAAAGUGACUUCUUUACCCUUUGAGAAUCUCCCAUUCUUUUUGAUUAGUGCCUUAAAUCUAAGGGGUUACCCUCCUCAAGGCUGUUUGAUUCUCUUCUCCAGACUUUUUGCCACAACUCCCUGAGUCUUGCUUUAAAUUGUCCUGACACUUUUUAGUUGUUUUCUUGUACAAGUUUGGAAGGUCUGAAUAGGUAGUUUUUUAUCUUCAAAAGACAUUCCCCACCCCAAUCCCAACCCCACCCUGAAUCUAUACAGCCAGCCCAGGAAUCCUCUUACCUCUCCUUUUGACCCUGCUCUUAAAGACACAGCUUAGGCAUCUCUGUGGUAACCUUAGGAGAGCCAGGCCUAGCUCCACAGUGGCUGAAGCUGUCAGACUGUCUUUAAAUACCCACCCUCAAAGAGCAAAGAGUUUUGAAGUCUGCAUCUUUACCAUUUGAGGGACUUAUACUACUAGGAAGCCCAUUUUAGUAAGGCUGACAUAAGGCUGACUCCCCAGGACUAUAUCCCCUCUUCCUGAAUUCAGGAAAUCCUGAGCCAAAACCAAGACUUCGUGUGCUUCGAGGUACAAAGCUGCCAAGAUGUGGGGUCCUUCAUUACCAGUGCUAGAUGUGGCUAGAAGAAACCACCUAGCCUAGUCUUUUACUGCCACAGAUGACUCUUAGCCUGAGGAAGUUUGGGAAAACACCUAGGACAUCCAUGUGGAGAGAGAAAUGUGGCUAGAAAGAAUCCUCGGAGGUCUCUGUCAGCUCACUUGUCGCCUGCUUCUUGCUUCUCCAAAGCUGUGAGCACCGACCAAAAGGGCUGAUGUUCCUAUGGCUGUUGCCCUGGAAAUACUGGCUCCAACUGGGUACAAGAUGAGAAUAGGUGUGGCUCACUUUUCCUGUGGCAGCCAGGGGCCCAUGUCAAAGAGAUCUCUCUCUUCUUCCCACUAUUUCAGUACAAUGAGGGCAGGAUGUGCACCAUAAGACUGGCUUAUUGUUUUGGAAUGCCUCGGAGGAGGGACGUUGAUUUGUACAUGCCCACCAAGUGAUCUAGUGGAUUUAGAGAAGUGUAUCUGGUGAGAAUAAUUGGCCAGGAGAGUGGAGAUGGCAAGCAUUGGAGUAAUAAGUGAGGAUUCUAAGUAAAAAAAAAAAAGUCCUGGACAGCAGGCAGGUUGCAGCUCCCGGUACGUCCCUCAGUGUUAGCUUAGGCUGUUCCCAGUUACAGUUGUUUUUGCUUGUUGGUAGACUUAUGAUCUGGUUGGUCCACAGCCCUUUAUAGCAAGGGAGUCAAGGGUUCAGGCACAGCCUGCAAUCCUGACCAAUUCCAAGCUGGGAGUGGUUAAACACUGAACUUUGUCAGGAGUAGUGAAUAUAAAGGGAGGGCUCCCAGCCCCGGUGCUGGUGGGGACUAGAGUUAAUAUUUUUGGUGUCGAUUAGAACCAAUCUUGUGGGAGGAAACAUUGGUCAGGGUCGGGGCUUUCAUCUCAAGAUGUGUAGGAGGUCUGUUGGCUCUGGGGGCCCCAGGAGGUGGCCUCCUCUAAAUGGUAAACUUAUUCCUUUGGGUCUCUUUUGGUAGCAUAAUAAAUCUUAUUUCCCAGGUUUUUUCAGUGUACCAUAGACUGGACACUGGACAUCCCUAUGUUGUCCCCAAUCUCUGUCUUAAGGUUAUGUGGUUAUAGGUAGGUCUCUGUCCUGAAGUGUUUCAGAGAGAGCCCUAUAAGUACUUGUUGACAUGCUUCCAGGGGGCUCCAGUUUCACAACCCCAUUUAGCACAAUUGAAAUCCCCCCAUUUCCUGGCCCCUGACAAUGUAGGGGGGUUCAUUCACAAGUCAUGAAUAGAACUGGAUUUCCUGUAUUUUUUUUCAAAAGAUAGGUCCCCGAAACCACCUCUUCUAUAGCUUAACCAAACUCCAAAAGUGGGCAUAAAGAAGUGUCUACAUGGAACCUGGGGUUGUUCAUCUGUCAAAUUGACUGUCAUCUUCCCUGAGCCCAUUAUUCCUGAUUCUCAAGUCCAGAUAAGGGGACAACUUGAGGUUCUCAUGCCCAUAUAAAAAGAAAGCAAAGGGAUUAAUGAUCUUGUGUUGGUCUUUAAGGAUCCAAAGUCCUAGCAAGAGUCCAUUUGUUAUCAAUAACUUAGGGUUAUUAUUGCUGUGAUGAAACACCAUGACCAAAAGGCAAGUUGGAGAGGAAAGGUUCUAUUUGGCUUACCCUUCUAUAUUACUGUUCAUCUUUUAAAGAAGUCAGGACAGGAACUGGCACAGAGCAGUAAACCUAGAGGCAGGAGCUGAUGCAGAGGCAGUGGGGGGUGCUGCUUAUUUGUUUGCUCGACAUUGCUUGCCCAGCCUGCUUUCUUAUAGAACCCAAGACCACAAGCCCAGGGAUUGGCACCACCCACAGUGAUCUGAGCCACUUCCAUCAAUCACUAAGAUGAUGCCUUGCAGCCUGAUCUUAUGGAGCCAAUUUUCUCAGUUGAGGGUCCCCCACUUCAGAUAACUCUCUCUAGAGAGUUUGUGUGUGGAGUUAACACAAGAUCAGCCUGAAUAGUCAGUCAUUCUCAAUGACUUUCUAAUUGGGAGUGAUGAAUUCAAAGGACGACACUAGCUACUUUCACAGCAGUUGGGAUGGUGAGGAUGACAGGGUCAGGUCCCUUCCAGGCAGGUUCUAGAGUCUGGACAGGUAUCCUCUUUAUCCAAAGGCUCCUGGCAGGACUAGUGGUAGUGGGUGGGUUUAGACAUGGGAGAUGGCAGAAUUUCCUUCACAGUCUGCUCAAUGACCUGUCACGAUUCCUGUAAAGGAGAAAGGAAGGAUUAGACAUUUCUGCCUGGGAAAUCAGAGUUUGGGGAGAAUGGGAGGUGGUCUUUCAGAGGAAGAAGCCCCUCCAAGGAAGGAACACAUCUGGCCCCAGGCAGAGCAAAGGGAGGAGGUUGACCCAAUUUGCUCCAGUUUCUAGGACCACUUCAGUCAGAAUCUCCUGAAGAGUUCUAUUUAUCUUUUAUACCUGACCUGAGCUCUGUGGCCUAUAUAUACAAUGUAAUGUUUAACUAAUAUUUAAUCCCUUUAUCAGAUUUUGAGACACUUUGACUAGGAAGACCUGGACCAUUGUCUGACCAGCUAGGGGCAGCCCAAACCUAGGAAUCAUCUCCCGAAGAAGUUUCCUAGUAACUGCUGGAGCACUGUUUAAGUGGGAUGGGACUCCAUCCAUCCUGAGAGGGGUACCUAUGAACAUCAGCAAAUAUUUAUAGUUCACAAAUGGUAGGCCUGAUUUUCAGGCAAGUCCAACUCCCAGUGUCUCCAGGCCCAUUUUCUCCAGCUUAGAUCCUCUGUGGGAUCUUCCUUCCUUUCCCCUUUGGAGUUUAUCCCAAGCACAGGUGGCAUAUCUAAAAAUGGUGUCUUUAAUCGGGUUUUCCAAAGCCAGAACAUUAAUGCCCAAGUCAACACUUCAGCUGUUUUUAUAGCCCCUAGCUGAGUGUCUUGAUGGAGAUCUAUAACCAGUUGCCUUAACCAGACUCCCAGGAAGGAUGGGUCUGACCUCCAGCAGCAUUCAUCCAUCUUCAUUUAUCCUGUGUGGCCAGUUCUUGUUUAACCCAGUCAGUCUUGACUGGGUGACCUGGUGAAUGAGCUCUGGCAGGGUUACCAGGGUUUGGAGAGACCCCACUAGUUCUAAGGUCAUUUCCUGGAUGACUACCGAGUCAGCUGCUCUGUUGUUGUCUCUGGCCUCUGGGGAAUCCCCUUUUCUGCAUCCGUUGCAAUGGGAAAUGGCCGCCCUCUUGGAUAACCAGAUAGCUUCCAAUAAAGCUAAGAUUUCUUGUCUAUUUUUUACUUCCUUUCCUGCUAAGGUUAGCAAUCCUCUUUCCAUAUAUGAUGCACCAUGGGCGUGGGCUGUCGUUAAAUCUAUGAUAUCUCAGUAUCAGCACCAUAUUGGAGCAUAUGGUGAUAGCUUUGUCUCCCCACCUCCCAACUCCCAUGGAGAGCUUGAGUCAAAACUAAAAGCUCCGAUCAUUGAGCUGAGGUUCCCCUACUUAAAGAUGGUGCCCACAUAGUCUUAUCUUGGAUCACCAUCACUGACACUGCAUACCUGAUCAGUCUUGACAAAACUGUUUCCAUAUGUGAACAAAUAACUCAUCUGGUGUCACUAAUAGGUCAUCAGUCAGGUCAGGCCUGGUGGAUUGGAUCAGAUCAGAUACCUCAAGACAGUCAUACAGGGGACCCGAGGAGUCGUUCUGGCAGGAGCCUUGUAGGGUUUAGUGCCGACAUCUUAUGAAACCGAAUGCAGGGUUGAUCCAGAGCAGAGCUUGGUAUCGGGUCAACAGGGCAUUAGACAGCCAUCUCUUGGGUGUCCCCAUCAAGAGGGCCUCAACAUAGCAUGGAGUUGCCAGGAACAGUUUGUGCCCUAAAGUUAACUUGUCAGCUUUUACUAGUAGGGUGGUGGUAACUAUGGCCCUCUAGAUUCUGGCCAUCUAGCUGUGACCAGGUCAAGUCUCUUGGACAGAUUGUGUUCACUCUUUUCCAGAGUCUCAGGGUUUGCAUGAGGACUCCCUAGGCAAUGGCUCUGGCCUCAUCCACAUAUUAGUAAUGCCUGAGAGAGCUGUGACUUUGGAAGUCACCAGAAUUGGGAAAAUCAGUCACUAGGACCUUUUUCAAGGCUUUGAAAGCACUCUGUGCAAUCUCAGUCCAUUCCAAAGGCUGCUGCAUACCCUUGGUGCUGGCAGAGGAGUUUGGUUAUCUCAGCAAAUCCCAAUGUAUCCCAUGGCCAGAAGUAUCCAACUGCCCCCACCUCCACCAGGAUUCUCAUACUUGUCUUUUCAAUGUGGGAGCGAGGAGAUAAAGCAUCAUGAGACACCUUCCCAUUAGGUUGAACAGCCUAGGUAUAUGACAUAGGGACAUCCAACUGACCCUUUUUGGCUGAGACUCUGGACUGCAGGGCUUGGAGGGUAUCUAAAAAGCCUUCUAUUGCCUGUCUACAUUCUUCCUCAGUGGGCAAAGCUAUGAGGAAGUCAUCUAUAUACUAGAGUGGAGUGCUUUGUGGAUAUUUUUGUCUAAAGUUCAUCAGACCUGCCCUCAGGCUUUCAUCAAACAAUGUUGAGUUUCUGAACCUUUGUGGCAACUGAGUCCACAUGUGUUGACCAAUAUAUCCACACUCUAGGUUGGUCCAUUCAAAGGCAAAUUUGCUUUGGUUGACUGGAGCUAGUAGGAGACAGAAGAAAACAUCUAUUAUAUUUAGGACCAUAUAGAUAUUCCUUUCAGUGGAUGGGGGCAAAAAACUUGGGAGAAUAUAAAGGUUCAUACAAUGGGGUGGAUGUUUUCCACUCAUUCAUUGUCCUCCAUUAAAUCCUUUACUGAUCAGAAGUCUCAAGUGUUGUGUUUCAGGACAGGGAGCAAGAGAAUGAAUGUUCCAUGAGGAGUGGCAGGGAACAAAAAUUCCUGUCCCCUCAUUCAAUUGAUGUGUUUGGCAAUCCUUUGCUUGGUUUCCUGACCCAUUGGGGUAUUAUUUGACCCAUACUGGUCUUGCAGAACAUAAUAACUGAACUAUGAUGGAUGGCCAGUGAUGCUACUUCUGGUGGGUUCCACUCAGCCUAAACAUCAGGGUACCUUGCUUUGAGUUCCUGCAGGUAGCCUGAGAGUAGCUCUUCCUUCCUUGUGACCAAAUACUCAUAUAAGAGGUACUCAUAGGAUGGAGGACAGGUGACCAGAAUAUUGGCCUGAGUCUAGAGUUAGACUGGCCAAAUUCUCCCCCAGAGCAAUGGUGGCUCUUGGUUUUUGUAAUAGGUCCCUUCUUGAUCAGUGGGUAUGAGCAUUCUGGCGUAAUCAGAAUGAGUCAUAGUAUCUUGUUCCUUGGUCUACAGUUUUACAGGUUGUCUAUGAAAGUAGGCCAUUUGGCCUAUUGCUCCUUGGACUGCUGUCUUCCUGGAGCUAAGGGUUACUAGUAGUUCUGUUAAGGCAAGAGUGUACUACUUAGUGUCUAUUAUAAUGUUGAUGGAUUUGUCCCCUAUUCUCACUGUCAUCCUGGGCUCCCAAGGGCUAAGUCAUAUGGAGUCCUGGCCCCCAUCCAUUUUCAGCUAGCUAUAGGAUUGGACAGCUCUCCUCUUUUUCUUUCCUGCUAGGACACUCCCUCUUGCAGUGAACCUUCUGCUUACAAUAGGCACAUUAGUCCUUUUACCAUUUUUCUGGCCUAGCUCCCCAUCUCCUCUCUUGUCUGUUUCCCUGAGGGCAGUUAUCGCCACCCAGAAGAGUUUCUUUCCCUGUCUUCAGCUGAGUCUCAGCUGUUAUAAACUGAAAAAUUUUCAAGGUUGAGAGCUAUUCAUUCCUUCAAAUUCCUCUAAUUUCUGGAGUCUUCUCUUUAUGUCAGGCUGAUUGCAUAAGAAAGGCAGUAUUCUUGGCUCUCUGGUUUCAGGGGUUGGGGGGGCAAUCUGGGUCUAUGGGGUUAUAUAACUGAUAUACUUCACAGAACCUUUCCAGAAAUCCAGCAGGUGAUUCAGCAGGUCCUUGAAUACAAACUGACUAACCUUGGGUAAGUUGGUAGAUUUUUUUGACUACUACUUUUAACCCUCCCAGUAAAGUUUGGUGAAAGGUGUUCAAUGACCCUUACCUGCAUGGGUAUUAAGAUCACAAGUGGGUCAAGUACAGGGAAAAGUUUACUUUGUCUGGGCCUCUGCAUCUGGAAGUGUCCUGUUGCCCAACCUCAGAGCCAACUUCCUACUUUCCAGCUGAAUUGGGUCUUGCUCCUCUACUUUGAUCAGGGUGGCCAGGAGUUGCUGACAGUCAUCCCAAGUCAGCUGGAUUGUAUAGAAAACAGUCUUUUAACAGACCAAUAACAUGUGGCUUCUAGGGAAAAGGGACACUUGUGGUUCUUCCAAUUAUAAUAAAUCAUUGGUGGAGAAGGGAACAUAUACCCAUAAAUAGAGGCAGGGGACCUUUCCCCUUUUCCUCAUCUUCCUCUUAUGUGUAACAGGGUCCCAGUUCUUCUUUCAAUGGGAGAAUGAACAAUGAUCAUGCAGCCUCAGACAAAGCCUGUCUGACCUCCCCAUAGGCCGAGCUGCUCCUCAUGUACAGCAGGCAGAAGGAGCCAGGUGUAGUAGAAUUGGCCCUCUGUCCUCCCCACUGGGGUGAAUAAUUUCCUCAAGAGCUCUUGAAUUUCCCACUGAUCUAGUCAAACCAUAAAGAAGAAUGUCUAUCUCUUCGGGUGGAGCAGGGGGAACCUGCAGUACUUUUAGCUUUUCUGGGUGUUCUGGCCUGAUCAGCAGGACCCAUGGCUCCCAAGAAAAGAGAGCAAGUCUUCAACCAUAGGGAUAGAUGAAGGAAAAGGAUUGCCAAGGGUUCCUCAGGCAGCCAUCCUACUUCAAAAGAGGGCCAUUCAAGUUCCCAAAGAGGAUGGAGUCUUACUGGAGAUAAAUGAACACAACCAUUGUCCCCAUCCAAGAAGCCCUUUAAAGAGUUUUUAGCAUACACUUUAGAGGGCUCCUUGGGAACUUCCAUGUGGUCUGAUGGCAAGGGCAAAUGACAAACUGACUUAAAGAGCCAAAGACAAUGCAGAUACAAAUAACAGCAACCAGAUAGUCAGACAAUCAUAGGUAGCCAGCUGCCAAGCAUUCAUUCAAUAGACCAGGGGCUCCAGUAAUGUCUCACAAGGACCCCUGACAUGGUAUCUGCAGUUAUACCCAAUCUUCCCACUUGUGUCCUAAUCGGAUGGUGUCUCUACAGACUAAACUUAACCUCCAGAGGUGUUCAGAGCAAAUGACUUUCAAUUUGCCUUUUUGGGUGGUACUGUUGGUUGCCUUCAGAGUGCUCAUCAGUGGUUGGUCAAGAGGAUUUUCCUGAGGACCUGGAAUGUCUCAGGGCACGCAUCCUCUAGGUGUACUCCCCAACUAGAUCACUCUUCUGCUCUUGGGGGUCCCGAGGCCUCUAAGUCCCAGAGUCCAGUCUCUGAAGAGUUCAGUGGGCCCUUCCAAACAACCAGAGAUGGUUGAAAGUCUUUAUUCCAGCCAGAUUGGAUUGCAUUCUGGUAUUCAGGACCCAAGUGUCAAGCUGAUGUUUAGAGUAAGGAGAUUUUAAAGGCAAAAACCACAUCCUGUUAUCUCACUGGGCAGCUGCAUAGGGAGGUUUUGAGCAAGCAGGAAAUUUAACAGAAGCCAAAAUAGAUUAGCUGAGCACUUUGACCUUGGGUAAUUUUCCACAGGGCUUUCCUUCAAGAAGAUCAAAUUCCAGACAAACCUAAAAUGGCUUCAGCAAGAAUAAAAGAUGAAGGAACCUCUGCACACUCUUGCCCUGCAACAAUACAAGACUAUAUGAAGUCAAAGUGUGAGGGCAACAGGUAUAACGGACAUGCCUAGUGGCCAGUUCAAAUAGUUGCAGGUUAUGGAUCUGGAGAGGAGAAGCAGACUACUGCAUAUUAUGUCAUGUGGACAAAACCUAACAUGUACAUGUGCUGCCAAUAAUAAUGCUCACACUACUCCCAGGUAGGGCCAUUCUGUAUAUGAACAUGUGCCAAAACCCACACCCUAAGUCCUCAAGAAUAACCAUGUGUGUAGAAAGAACACUGGACUGGGAGUAAAAAGACAACUUAGGUUCUAAAGCUAGUUCUGCCACUAACUGUGAGACAUGUGACAGACACUUCCUGUUUUGGGGCUAAUGAUAUUUCUUAUAGGCUGAAGGGCCUUAGCCUGCCUGAAAUUUUAAAGCCACUAUGAUUUAUUUCCUUAGCAACCUGUAAGCCAGCCACAUAAAUAGCAACCCAGUGGUCUCCUGUCUCUGACUAUGAGCAGUUAGUUAUCAAAGUGAAGCAGCACUGAAGGGGACCUACCAUACACACUAUCAACCUCAAACACCUUUCCUGGGGGGAUGGGAGUGUGAAGGUUGCCAAUAUAAGCAUUUAAAAGACCAAAAUAAUUAUUUCUUUGGUGACUAAUGGGUAAGAUACUACUGUGCAUGGGCUGGGUAAAAGAAUCAGUCAUUACACUUCAGUAUAGCCCAAUUUAAUAGAGGGGAAAGUGGCAGCUGGGAAGUAUGAGAAACUUUACUUCUGUGCCUUAGAUGCAGCAGGUUGCCUUUAAAAACCUAGCCCUCUGGACACCCAAAUGAGUGUCUUAUUUAGAAAAUUGACAAUGCACUGAAUUUGUGCCUAUGCAUAGCCUUAUCGUUUGGUGUGUUCCUGUCAGAAACAAAAUAGCAUUCACAGUAAAUGUUCACAGACAGAUGACCAGAUAUGCAUCCCCAGGAAUGUGGAUCAAUUAUGGGCAUUUCUGUGCUGGAACUGAACAAACAGCACUCCAAGAAACCUCAUGGUUGGACAUCACAAGCUGGUGCUGAAUGACAAUGGCCAUACCCCAAAGAGCUCAAGCCAGGGGACUCUGCUUAAGUCCAAACACAAGAUGGAAGACAAGUUUUAUAACCACAGACAACUAUUCUGUACGAGGAGGAGUACGAGAGGCUCUUUGGGGCUUGUUGAUGUUCUGUCUCUCACAGUAGAUGAUAAACACCAUGUUGUGAUGUUUUCAGUCACACCUGUGACUUGCUUUCUCUUAUAUAGGUAGAGGAGACUGUAAUGUCUAUUUUUAAGUUACUUUUAGAAUUAUUAUUCAUGAGAAAUAUGGAGGUUGGGUUUCUCAGGCUGGGGACAUACCUUGAGGAGAGAGCGGUAAGGGUACUUGAUCCCAAACCUUAAUAACCCGAGUUUAAUCCCCAAGACCAACACAGUGGAAGGAGAGAACCUAUCCCUGUAGGUUUUCCUCUGAUACCCAUGCACCCACAUGUGUACACAUACACCCACUCAUAUACACAAAUUGUUAAAAGUAUAUAUGGGGAGGCAGGCUAGAGAGAUGGCUCAGUGGUUAAGAGUGCUUGCUGCUCUUACAGAGGAUCCAAGUUUGGUUCCCACCAUGUCAACUGUUUCACAACUAUCUAUAACUCCAGCCUCAAGGGAUCUGAUGCUCUCUUCUGACCUCUGACCUCUGACCUCUGACCUCCUCAAGCAUCCACACAACUUGGCAUAUAGAUUCAUGGACCUACCCAAGCAGAUAAGCAAGUAAAAAUAAGUUCAGUUUCUCUUAUUUUACUCUUUAUUUCCUUCGGAUGCUAGGGUCGGCCAGUUCUUGAGUUUGCCAGGUCAGUUCUCUAUGGCUGACGAGAACCCAGCUGUAAAUUUUUAAAAAAUAAAAAUAAAAGUACCACUUGUUGAGUUUUGGUGUAAUAAAUAAGAAUAUCUACAAUAAUUUUCAAAAAGUUAUCAAAACACUUUUCCCCUUCUCAAGUAUGAGGCACCUGCAGAAGGCUGGAGUUAAACUGUGUGCUUGGGCUGGAACAGGCUCAAGACCGAAGCAGAUGCAAAAACCCAUGUGUCACCUCUUAACUGAGGCAUUGAAAAUAUUUACAUAAUCCAACAGUGUCUACCAUCUGAAGUGAUAUUCUCUCCCUCCUUCUGCUCGGGGGACAUUAGGCAACCUUUUGGUUGUCCGCUGAGAUCUAGGAGGAUGGAUUGCUGCUCACUUGUGCAGAGAGGUGGCCCUGCACUUGGGGGCUUCCAAGAACAAGAAAUAACCUUGUCCAACCUCGGCCCUUCAGAGGUAGAAAUCCUGAUGAAAACUGACACCUCCCCCAACACCCUUCUCACUCAGUGUGUGCUCAAAUAGAUAUGAGUAUGAGUAUGUAACAAGAUUCUUUUGUAAAUAAAUUCACAGUUUUACAAAAAGUCACUAUUUGAAAUUGUAAUGUCAGUGGGUAAAACCCACAUAAACAAAAGCUCUUGGGGGUUCUCAAUGAUUGUUUGUUUGGUUUGGUUUGGUUAUUUUUGUUUUUUUAAGUUGAAGGAAUCCCAAGACCAAAAAUUCAAGAAAUUCUUAAAGCAUAUGGAGAAUAUAGAUUACAUGAUGACAUCUAUUGAGUAGCUUUUACACACUAGCCAGAUUAAAAACAAAAAGUAUUCACAACAGGUAUGACAAGGACAUGUGGCUUCUUCUGAAUGAGGGGAGGAGUCUGGAGUACACUAACCGAUGAAGAGCUUGGAACCAGAGGCUGAUGCUGAUCCAAAUCUCUCUCAGAUGCUCACCCUGAAAAACACACCCACCAAGAAAAUCCGCCUGUGAUUCCCAAGAGAACACUCUGUAGAAGGGAUAAGGGACACAAGGAACAUUUCCAUUCAAAUGUGAGUGGCAAGAGCAGCAAGAACGGAACUGUGCGAGGCGGGAAAUGUAAAACCCAGAAGUGAAACCCGGAAGUGCAGUCUCAGGAAGAGGAGCAAGAAGGAAAAGGAGGCAAGGAAGACCUUAGAGCCCUUAGACCUUAGAUGCCACACCAGAGCUGAGUCUUGAAGGAUGAGUAGGGAUUUGGUCACUUAAAAAAAAAGCAAAGCUUUUCAGGAGAUAACUGGGGUCGACUGUGCUGUGGGCAAAGGCCCAGAGUGUGAAAUCCCAAGGUGUAUAUGUGGAGACAUUAUAAAAGAGUAUAAAGAAAAUGAACGGCAGACUGUGAUGGCUACAGAAGCUCUGUGUCAUGCUAGGCAUCCAUCUUGGUACCCGUCAGUCAUUUGUCUCUGACUCCAGUCCCUGGAAGAUAAGUUCCCAGUAACCCUAGUUCAGUCACCCCACCCCACCCAAAAACGUACAGCCGUGACUAGCUACUUGUUAUGACUAACUGCUCCCCCCCCACACACACACACAGAUACCCAAUGAUUGUUUCAAGUUGCUUUAACCACUUGGCAGAACAGAAUAGUUUUUGCUUGCUUGCAUAGACAUUGAAGGUCUUCACGUGUUCUGGUUUAAAAGACCUUCCCCAGACCCCUUCCAUCAGGGCAAUCUCAAAUCUAGCUCGGAGUCUGUUCAUUCUUUAAAUGGAUUGAGUCUAUAGCCUUUUACCAGGGGUCACAUACUCCAUAACAAGAUGAAGUAUAUACCACCCGACAAAUAGUCUCCAGUAAAAGAAAAAAAAAUCUGUAAAGAAAUAGAAGCUUUGAGUUAAUAAAUCUCUUCUGUCUUUAGAAGCAGCUGCGCUGACUCUUGACUCCCCACUGGUCCAGCAUGAAAGCUGCCUGCCCUCCCUCUGUUAGGUUUCCUUGUCUUUACACUAGCGCUUUCCCUGACUCAAGGGCAGCCAGGUGGUACUGAUGGUCGUGGCUGAAGUUCCUUCAGGCCAGAGAAGGAGGGAAAUGACCUGUUCCCUAUCUUACAUGUGAAGCCAACGAGGCUGGAUGGUCCCCGGAUUAAGUGUCUUUUAGGUCCCUGGUCAGGUGUUAGCGUGGCUCCCAUUGUGGGGAAUUGGCCAAGAUGGGUGAAUGUCCAUUUCAGAAGCAUCCGUCGAGCCCUUACUGAAACUGCUGGACAGGCAGGAAGGGCAUUAAGCAAAAUCAAAGAGGGGAAGAGAACAGAGACAUUUUCUGAGGUACUCAGCUCAGCGUAUGCUCACUGACAGCCUUCAUAAAAGAGUGAGCCAGUCUCAGACACCUGUCUUUUGCCCAGGGCCGCAGGAGAGGCUGCCCCUUAGAUCAGGCACUGAGCAAGUGGCAGAAGUCAUGUAACCAUAGCUGGGAAUCUAUUUCCAGAAGUCUGGUGAGAUUUGAAUUCAGAACCUGUUGGUGGGAAGGAGCUAGCAAGGUGGGCAGGGACUGGUGAACUAGGUGUCAAGGAGUCUCCCAUCAGUCUAUUGGUCAAUGUUAUUCUACAAACAGAAGAGAAGCAGGAGGCCCCAGAAGCAGAUAGAGCUGGGGAAUCGCCCUGCAGACUGGGCCGGCAGUAAGUGAGGACUCCUGAGGGGAUGUGGGGAGCUGACUUGGUCUGACCUGAGGAUAGUAAGUUCUUCAGGAUAAAUAAUGAGUGGUUUGCUGUACCACUCUGGCCAGCAAACCUGGGUUCUGGUACACCUAUAGACUUCAUCAGCAUCUGUGGGUCAAGGCACAUGAGAACCCAGACUUUGCCCCCUUUUUUUAAACACAUGUGAGCAUCCAACAUGUGAGCAGGACACCCAAUGGGGACAGGCUCAUUGUAAUUGCCUCUAAUCUGGAUGGAAUAGCAUCAGCAUCUCCAUCAUUAGGGCCACAAGGUAGGAGGUGCAGGAGGCUGCUCACACCUGACCCCAGUAAAUGCCUAUUGUGGAGAAAUAGGUUCUCAGUUCAGCACACCUGAGCUUGGAGCCACUGAGUUUGGAGUUUCUUACAGAAGACAGCAAUGUCAAAAAUGGAGACCAUCUAUCCACAACAGCUCUGGUCACUUGAGUCCUCCCAUAGCUGUUUCCUCACAUAGGUUACCAUAAGUUGGCAGUCUGAGUACCACAACUGUCUGAAUACUUCACUUUCGAUACAGGAAGAACCAGGUGCCAGGCACUGUUGGUGUUAAGCCCUUACAAAUAUUAGUCUAUUUGCGAAUCUUAGUCGGUCAAACUAGCAGUAGUUGAUAAGGUGUUAUAAUAAGCAGAUGUUGGGUCACUCAAUAAAACAAGUGACAGUGACGAGUCAGCUCAGCCCUCCCGAGAAGGCAGUACAAAGCCAUGUCAGCUCAGCCCUCCCGAGAAGGCAGUAACAAAGCCACAGGCCACCUCUCCCUCACCUGGCAUGGCUCGUGUGCCUCCUUUGCAGGGUCCGGGACAGUGCCUGUGUCUUUACUGCUCGUCUCUAAGCAGUGGUGGCAACGAGAGAAGCCUCUGUGUUUAUUGUUCACACUCUUGGUCCACUUAGAGGACAUGGGGAAGGAGGACCCAUACCUGUGGAGCUCUGCAAACCAGUUCCCAGGAACCUUUUUGAAACUGUGCUUGGUCUCUCCUUUCUGAGAGCCACUCCUGGAUAACAGCCAAACACCCAGAAACCCCGAGAGCCAAGGAGCUUCAACAGGCACCACGCGGAAUCUUUUUCUUUUCUGCCUCUGCUUUUCUCCUGCCUUGGAGGAAGGCAAGGCCCCUCAAGGAGCCACCAGCAGGAGAUGCAGGGUCGCUUGGGCCAACUUCAUCUCCCUCCCUGGCUCACCACGCCUCAUCUCAUGUUGGCAGACUCUCCCACUGACCUGCCCGGGCUGCUCCUCCUUUGUUUUUAUACAUCUUGCUGCCUUGUGCCCUGAGCAGCUUCUCUUGUAAGGCUCACUCAGCUCCUUUGGUGGAAUUUGGAAAACCUAGCACAGUCUUGAAUGUACCCCUUCCCCUCUUAGGGAUGACAGAUGAGACCUCCAGAUGCCCCCUCUGAACAAGAAAGACUUCUGCUCCGCAUUUACCCACCGCCAAACAUGGGUAGUGGGUGACUGAGAAUUUACUUCUCCUAGGAUUUUUCCCUGGCAAGGCCAGUUUCUGAGCUUGUGGCAAACAAGGGACCCUAAGGCUGUUACCUGGGCCAAGAAUCCUGGUCUCCUAUCCCCUUGGAGGCUCAUGGGGUGAGAGAGAACAGAAAGAUAGCAAUAUCAGAACAAAGACAUUCUUGUGUACUGGCCUGAGGGGCUGAGGGUUUUAUGAUCUGUAAGAGAAAUACUCUCUGGGCUUCUGGGGACAGGAUGUUCCUGGAUCUAGAAGGGCUGAAGGAAAGCCCCAUAGCAUACCUGAUAAGAAAGGAAAUUAACCCGAAUCCUUGCCAUGGGCUCUCGGCAAUGAGGAAUGAAGGGAAACAAAGCUACCAUCAGUGACCGUGCCUAUGCAUUGCCUGUUUAAUGGACAGAGAACUGGAGAUGACUUAGUGCAGGGCAUACUGAAAACAGAACAAGAAAGUAUGAGGACGAAUGGCGUGGGGUAGAGGUCGGGAGGGAGGAAGAGGGGAGGGGAUGUGACACCGGAGGGAAGCUGAAGUCUGACAUGACAGCUCGAAGAAAUUUGCCACUGUGGGGGCCGGGGGGUGGGGGCUAUGCGAGUCACAGAGGCAGGAACAAACUUAGGGCGCAGACACCAUUGCAAUUGAGGUUGAUGACUGCUGUGGAGGUAGGUGAAAGGCAGGUGUUGUAUUGCUUGACUGGACCCAGCCUUGUGAAGCCAAGGAAUUAACUACGCACUAAAUGAGCAGUCCUUGGGAGGCUUUAACGGAAGAGCCAGCAGGUCCUUUUACAAUAAGUCCAUGCAGAAUGGAGAAGAGGAGAGAGGAGGAGGGAAGACAUUCCUGAAGACUCUCUAUGAGGCUGCAGUCUGUACUGGCAGGGGAAUGUGGAUGGCUUGGCCUAGGAUGGCCAUAGUACCAAUGAUAGGACCAUGGUCACUUGGAAACUACUGAGACCCUCUGGUGGAUUGGAUGUGAGUUAGAUGGGAGAAGGAAGUGGAAAGUGAAGACACCCAGGGGCUCAGAGCAGUGGUGAGGGCCCUUAGCUAGAUGGGGAAGAGAAGUGAAGCAAGUGUGGAUGGGGCUUGCUGGAGGCCAUAGUGAGUUUGGGCAGGAGUGGCUUGGCACCUACUAUCAUAGGACCCACUUCACCUCACAGGAAGGGGGCAUUUCUCUCGUGGUUCCAGCUCCACUGGGAAAACCAUCAGCAGAGCCUACAGGACACAUGUCAUGUUCAAGGUCAUAAAACAGUGACUUUGUGCGUGCGUUCGUUCGUUCCACAAACACCUAUGUACAUACCAGAAGGAAUAUCUGCUCUUGCCUCCGUCUCCAGAACAAUCAGUCCAUAGAAUCCUUCCCAUCAGAGUCUGUUGCUUCUUUAAAACAGUCUUCCUAGUAGAUGCAACCUCAGCAAUUUAUAAAUAAGCCCCAGUCGUAACUUGAACUUCCACAAUAGAGGAACCAUGUCUACAGGGCAGCCCAGGACCUACUGCCUAGUGUCUCUACCUCUGGCCCACUGCCAAUCCUGCCACUGGCAAUCUCUGGGACUCUUGUACUUCCUGUCACAGGAAGCCAGCUGAGUUAUCCAUAAGGGUUUAAGAGGUGGAUCGUGGAAUCACUCAGACAGGUUGGGUGGGAGCCGGGUGGAGAUCCCAGACGAGAGCUGUUCUGACCACCCAGCCCUCCUUCCCCCCUUUAGGGCUCUAAGAAGCUAAUUGCCUCCAAUACUCUGGUUUUAUAUUCUUUCUUUUGCACAACUUUCCCUUUCAGUUCUUUCUAGUAAACAAAACCCAAAAUAGCCUGCCUGACGCCUGCUCUCGACUCUGCCCUGCCUUUAGAUCAUAUGACUUGGACGUAGCCCCAGCGCUGUGUUUCCUUGUCAUUCUAGCUCGAGCUGUUUACUCGUUUGGGUUUUCUGUUUCAUUUUUGGUUACUGUCUGAUUCUCUUCCACACUUGCAGUUUUCAUUGUUAAGUAUCAAAGGCCCCUUUGAACAGCAUUGAUAACAGUCCACAAUCUUGCCGUGGCUGUGGUGGGGUCCUCUUGCUCAGGCUGGUUUUAGAGACCCUCCUGUCCCAAGUUCAUUCAGGCAAGUUGUGAGACUUCCACAGUUACUGGUUUUACUCGGUUUUUGUUGUUUCUGGCUUUUAAUGUGGUUUGGGAGGAGGGCCAACUCUGUUAGAGACUUGUCUUUUCUAAACACAUUCAAGGUAAUGUAGUUUAAAGAACAAAUUUCAAGGGAUGUACAGAGUCGUCCAUUUUGGUACACAAUUUCGGUUUCGUUGCACAGAGAUUCUACGUUACAAGAAGAUUUAAAUGAUUCUGUUGGAACCAUCUGCUGAGCUGCAGAGCAUUAAAUGUGACUGGAAAUGUCUCUCCUUCAGUCACUCACUCAUUCAUUCAUUCCACAGACAGGUAUGGAGCACUGAGAGCUGGGAAGACAAGGAAAGAAGUCCACUGGGUACAGCAGAGAAGCUGCUUCUGCCCAGAGUGACAGUCAUGUCUUUCCAGGGGUCAGAACCAGAACACAAGACGGGGUCGGAGUCGGAGUCGGAGUCGGGUCAGGGGUGGGGGGUACGUGAGCGCCUACUGCUUCCUAUUCUCCCUACUUCCCAGGUGCCCUGUGACCUGGUUGCCUGCUAGUUUUAGAAGAAGUCAUGCAAAGCCCUCUGUCCAGCUGGCCAUGGUGGCUACAGGGCACUCCCUAGGUGGCCAGGAGAAGCAGCAUCCUGCUGAGACCCUGAGUUCUUGGGGAGCACGGUUCCUGCAGAACUUUGUGGAAGAAAUGAAGUAUCUGGCCACAACAGCCAGUCUUCAUUCCCAGUGGGGACAUUAGUAAGAGGUGGUGGAGUGACUCGUGGCCCCAAUUAGCAGUUUUCAGAAUUUCCUGGCAGUAAAACUGUUUUGGACAGAGAGUUGAACAUAGUGUUAGGCGUUAAUUAACCACAGCUAGGAAAACCCCAAACAAUGGACAAGUGGUCACCUGCCAUGGAGAGAAGCUCACCAGUGCUCCACAUUGGAUGUCAGCGAGAACAGUGUGGCGGACUUCAGAUUUUUUUUAAAGUCUUUUGAGGUGCAUCAAGCCAAGUAUCCCCAACUAUCAAGCUGUUAUUGUCCCUUUUAUUGUCUUGUUUUCUUCAAAGGACUAUGACAGCUGACAAAAAAGGCACAGUGGCCAGUGGCACACAGAAUGUGAGGCUAGCACACGAAGCCAUGCUUCCAAAGCCUGUGGAUGCUUCAAAUCCACUCCUUGUAUGGACCAAUUAGAGCUUUUAAACUCAUAACAGAGGGAUUACUAGGGGUACAGGACAUGGGUGGAUUCUGUCCUGUUUUGUAUUGUUUUCCAGGAAUCUUAGGUCAUUCAGUUUUCAUGAAAGUUGUUCAUUUGGUUCAAUGGCACGCCAUUGAAAUGCACAGUGUUGCAAUAUGUAGACAUUAACAAGGGAUGGUCUGGAGGUCACUGUCAGGAUUCUGCAUAAAGAACCUUCUUUUAGUAACAUACCCAAAGUGACUGCUUGGCCCAGGCCACCAGUCCUUAUCGAGUAUUUUCUUUUAAAGGUUAAAUAAUUACCAAUAGAUAAUUGUUAUAAUACCUUCAUUUUGCAAUUGCACGGCUUUUGGUGGCUUUUGCCACAAGCACAGGAACCAAUCUGUCUCCCAGAUGCAGAAAGAUGGGACACAGAGAUGUGACCUCUUGCUCCAGGUUACAUGAUUAGACAUCACAAGCAGACAGCCUGCUGAACUAAAUGCAGGUGCUCUCUCACUCCGUGCUGUCCAAGUCCCUUGAUCCACAACCACCUAUGAGCUGUUUCUGGCACUGAUUGAGGCCCUUGGUUCCCAUGGAAACAACUCCAAAAUGAAAGCAUCACAUUUCACACAGGGGAGCUCUCAGAUGGAGAAGAGUGGGUCUAUGUAUCAGCCAAAGGCAUCAGAGAAGGCACCAUUUUAGACUUACUAUCAGAAUAAGUCAGCCCCAUCCGUGUCUCUCAAGCAAGCCGUUCUUCAGAUGGAUGCAAGCAAUGGUUGCUUUAGUUGACUUUGACAAUUGACAAGCACAAGUUACAGUAGCAGUUGUUGGACGGGAACUUUGUAACAGGUUAGCUAAUGGUGGCAUUUCAUGCUGAUGAAUCCAUCAGGAAAGACAUUGGGGUGUGUCUAAGGCUGCAGAGAAAUGGAAAGUAAUUAGAUAUAUUCAUUUGAUUUGCUUUUAGGGGAUCACACAAUUGACAAUACGACUAGGUAGGGCAGUCGCCUCUCAAUUUUCUGUAACUCGUCAAAGGGACCUAUGAGCCUACUCUAUUGACGCCAGCUACACCUAGGGGAAGCAGGAAAACAGAGAUCUCUUCGAAUAGUAUUUACUAGACACUUGAAAUUCGCAGAAAAUUUAAAUCGUGGGCCUGGAGUUACCUGCUUUUUGAUCUGUCUAAAUAAAGAUUUAAAAACAAAUUGGCAGGUAGAGCCAGUACAUUUCAGACUUACUAUGGACAAAGUGGGAGUGUUGCCUAAGCUUGAAAUACAAUGCGAAAUGCACUUAGACCUUAUUUCUACUCCUCUCCAGACCCAAAUUAUGCAAAGACUUAAAUAUAAAUGUGUAGCAUCGACAUUGUGCAAUGGAGAGUAUAUAAAAUAUAUAAAGUCAAGUGAUAAUGUGAUAUUCUUGUAUAUCCCUUGGGAGUUAAUGUUUCUACAACAAAAUACCUUGCACAUCAGCAUAAAAACAUCAACAUCCGGGGAGUCCUUGAGCCAGAAAAUAAUCCCAGGAAUUAAUUUGAAAAUCGUAUUUAACAUUAAAUGCUUCCAUUUGUAAAGGAAACUGCUGUGUUUAAGGGGGGGGUAUUUUAAUGCCAGGAAAGUAAUACGCAUCCCAAGGGCCAGGAGCAGCCUCAGAAAUUGAAGCCACUCUGCAUUGUGGAAAUGCGUCACUCUGUUCUUAUUUUCCUCGUUUUACCAUGAGCCAGCAGCUGAAGACAGUCUGUGACCCACUAUUUGGAUCAGUGAUCUAGAAAAUUUCUGACUACGUAGACAAGCCUCUACAAAUUGAAGGACUCAUGGAUAGUUGAGACAGUCAAGGGGAUCACCAGGGGUCACACACACACACACACACACACACACACACACACACACACACGAGCAUGUAUGUGCACACACAUGUUGCUCAGGAAGCUCCCAAAAGUCAGCACCAUGAUCUUGGUUAGAAAGCAGAUGUGGUCAGAAACGAGUACUCAGCUAAGGCCAUAUCCUGUCCAACGUUCUUCAACACAGUGGGCUACUGAAGUAGGAUGGGUUUUAAUAACAUUUGAGGGCUACGGAAGCUGAGUGAAUAUUGAAUGACAGACAGCCAUGGCCAGACAGAACCAUUGGCUUUGGUCAUUUACACAGGUAUUUGACAGUGGCCACAGCUCACCAGCUGCCUGAAAAGAAUGGUGUGAGGAACCCUCCAUAGGGUCCCUUCUCUGAUCACAGACUUCCCCACUCCCGUCCCUAGGAUAGGUGGGACCAAGUAGAGGCAAGAAGUUCACCUCCUGUCUUCAAUUGUCCAGGGACAUCCUCCAUCCUCUACUUCAUUCUGUCCCUCUGUAGAUAGGGUAGACUUAGGUCAGGCUAGACCUGUGUUUCUCUAAUGCCUCCCUCCUGAGACCACUCCUACAAGACCCUGCACCCUCCCAGCCAUAUACAGCAGUGAGAACUUUGGUGAGGCAUCAGGAGGACUUAUAAAUUCCAAGCCACCACAGGGGCUGACCAGGCACUGUCUCAUAAAUUUUGGUGGACAUCUUACCUUCCAGGCUCGCCAUGUCACUGCAAGCCAGCCUCACUUUUGCAGUCAAAGACAUGGACAUUAAUUUGGUUUAAGAGGAGUUACCUAGUGCCACACAGUAGAUGCCAAAGAUGUGACUCAAGUCUACUCCCAAAGCCUUCAUUUCAUUCUUAGAAUAGAUGAGGUGGGGGAAUGGCAUCAACACCUAGAAACAAAUCAAAUGUACACCAGAAGGGACAUGACUAAAUAUAUAUCAUGCAUACUGUGCUCGUGGCAUACAAUUAUGUGCAGGUGAAGUAAGAUAAAGAAAUAAGCUAAGAUUUCUUUUGAAAUGUUUGAUCACAACAACUGAGAUAAAAAUGACUACUGAUUGGCUCAAGUAGUAUGACCAGGAGAUUCAUCAUGUAAUCAACUCCCUGUCAGAUUUUAAAUUCCACUAGCCCAUUUGGAUUGCAAAGAGACAAACCCAUCCCUUCCCUAGUGUGGUAUCCCUCAUACACACAGAACUUAAGCUUAUAUAAGAGGCCUGGAGUCUUCCUUCCUCCCUACUGUCCCUCUGUCCCUCUGUCCCUCUGUCCCUCCCUCCCUCCCUCCCUUCUUUUUUCCCCUCUAAAUGUAUUGAUGCUGGGGUAUCUAUUAGAGUCUGGAGAAGAGGGCUUUCUCAGGGAGUUCAUCCAGGUACAGCCCUCGAGUCCUGGUCUGUGGCUCCAAAGCCAGCUUGCUUCUUGCCCUGACAUCCCUCACUUCUUAAGCAGUGUUCUGAAGGCCAUCUUCUAGCUCUCUCCUCCCCAUCCUUCAGUGUAGAGAGGGAGUUCAUAUCUGAGUUGCUAUCUCUGAAUGAUCCAGCAAUCUUUGUCUUCAUCAUACAUGCAAUGUUCUACAAAUUCGGGAAUUUUCUUGGUGCUAUGUCCUCAUGCCCUCAAGCCUUGAGGCCUUGGAGUAAAGGAGGUAGCCUUAUGUUUUCUUGUAACUGUUGAGGAAUUCACUGGAAGGAAAUUAUUUCUGCUCCAACUCCUGGUAGCAUAGCAUUGUGAGACAGUCUGUCCACACCAGUCUCAAUUGACUAAUAAAGACUCCCCCAGCAGGACCCAUGUCACAUCACCCUCUGCAGCCACCGGUGUGGACAAAACCUGUAUGUCAAGGCCAUGAUGAGGUAAACACUGAGCAAGAAUGGCAGGAGCCUUCUAUAAAGAUAAGAGUCCAGAUGGGUUGAGGGUCACAUACAGUGCAUUGAGCUUUUGGUAACCUGAUGGAGUCGGCUCUUUGGGGGUCAGUGAAGAGCACAGUGCAUGGCUCAGACAGCCAUUUUGACAAUGAGAUUCUUGUGUCUUGGUGUUCCUGUGUUUUCCUGUUGAUUGAACAAUGAGACCCCAGUCAGACAAUAUUAAUAUUGCAUACACAUUUCUUAAUUGUGUAGAGAGUUGGGGAAAUGUUAGUAGUAAAGAUGUAAUCGGUGUAGAGACUCCACUCAUUUUGAUCCCAGGCAUCAAUUUGGUGCGUGGUCUAGAGCAGCCAAACACUAACUGGGCAUUCCCUCUCUCCCUCCCUCACUCCUUUUUUUUCUUUUGUUUCUCAUCCUUACACAGACUUGAUGAGUGGAUCAUGAUAAAGUUGAAAGAAAUUGUCCCUCCAAAUGGAAGAAACAGGACCUGCAUAGGCCAUGACUCCAUUUCAUUAUAAUGUACCCAAAAUAGGCCCUGGAGGUGAACGUUUGUGUUCUUGGAAUAAUUAGGUCUUUGCAGUAGGCUAUGUCGAUGUCUCAGGUCUUUGCCCACAGGCUGACCCUUUAGCUCAGCUAACCCAGCAGCCAGCAUAUCUAGACAAAGAUUCUGCCUGCUGACAUUGUAUGGAAGAGAUUGCAUCACUGCUUCCCAUGUUAAGCCUGUGAGGAAUUGAGAGAUGUCAUCAGAGCCGGCAUCUGAAGCUACAUUUGCCAUUUGACCUUGUAUCUUCAGCUUGGUGAUUACAGGAAACCCUCCUGGAGAUUAUACCCUGGCACACACUUCCUUAGGUUCCAUGACUAUGAGGCUAUCUUUAGAUACACAUCCCAGACACUUGGCUGUCCCAAGAGACAGGGAUCUUCUUCAUAGGGGGAAGAGAUAGGGACGUUGAGUGACUAAUGAAUGGACUUUGAAAAUUAGCCUCAACACUGAAAGCAUUUUCUUAAUGUUCUGCCAUGAGCUAGAAUUUAUACAUAUGAACCAAAACAUGCUGUGUGUGUAAGAGUGAAUAAGAGAAACCACAGUAAACAUGUUUGUAUUAUUCUAUUUUUCUUCUGAGAAAAGUUCUACCUCUGUGAGUCUAUUUAUAAAUGCAGAGGCCAUGUGUAUAAACCUGUUGUAUAAAUACCUCUGGGAACGGAGUCAAGGGGGAAGAGAGGCAUGUUCUGACAUAAAAGGCAAAAUAUAGACCUUUGUUAGGUAUUUUGUACACACUCUAGAAAGUUUAUAUUUGCAGAGUUGAGGUGAAUCAUGUUGGAGCCUGUCCUAUCCUCCCUUUAGCUCCCCACCACCUAGACAGGCUAGUAGAGGUUUGGGAUGUGGGGUGCCUGGGCCACUAAGGUAGAGGCCAACAGUGGAAGGAAAAGCUCACCUCCUCAAUCCAUUGCCUAGGCCUCAAUCCAUUGACUGAAAAACCUUUUGCCUUGUUGAGCUGGUUUUAGCAUUUCUAGGCAGCCCAAUUUUGUUAGCCCUGAAAACAAUUAAGGCUAUGCACACAGCUGAGACUUCUCCAUGCAAAAGGAGAAGCUGAGCAGGACCUGGGCUGCAUUGCCGCCUUUUCUUAGAAGUCUUGCUUUUGGACAAAAUCUUUGGUCUAUUAAUAGAGAUCCUAAAGUCAGUAGCGGCUCCCAGGGCUGUGCUGGAUGCGACUGGAGCGGCAUCCCCAGCAGUGCAGUGUAGCUCUGGCUUACUCAGGGCUACUGCUGGGGAAGGGGUGCAGGGCCCUUGCCUUUCAAAGACCUGGCUGAACCUGAAAGUCCCUCCCUCCCCCACUGAGUUCUAUAGCACCCAUAGGACAGGGUGCUGUGUGCAAAGCAAAUGCCUGAAGGAAACCUUUGGGCUGAAAGUGAAGCCAGGGCUUUCUCCGGACUCUGAGCUGAACUUAACACAUAGUUGGAUCCUAAUUGUCCUCAAAUUAAUAAUUAGGGCAUUCAAGCAAAGGGACUUCCUAUUGCUGAUAAAAAGAAAAAAAAGAGGUGUUUUAUUCAAAAUCACAGGUGUUGAAGGCCAGUAGCCAUGCCAACGACGUGGUCACUCCAGAAACUCAAAGCACCUCCCUUGUGCUACAAAUCAACACUACUUAUGGAGCAAAGGACAAGAUCUCAAUUAUAAUGGCCUCAGUUUCCUUGCUGACCCAGGAAUCAUCUGAGACAUGUUCUCUCACGUCUUGGAGAUGAAAUAAAACAAAACUGUAAGAAGCCCAGGGCUGCACUUGACCAUGCCAGUGGGCAGCUCCCAUGAUCACUUACAGGAGGCUGAGGAGCUCCCUGAACUCAGAUAAAACACACAAUCCUUUGCCUUGACACAGAAUUGUGCAAAGAGCCAUGGUAGAGCAGAUUUUGAAUUUAUUUUUAAAAAGAGAAAAACUUUUCUGUGUCUUUUUGUUUGUGUUUUUUGUUUUGUUUGGUUUGGUUUUGACAUAGAUGCUAAGCAUGAGAGUUGAAAGAAAGGAAUCUGGAGACGGUGAGAUACAGCUGAGAGCAAAGGCAUGGUUGCCUAAGACAGUUCUACUUCAUUGUCUUUACAGCAGUCGCAUAUAUAGGACAGGCUAGAGGGAAGGGGGUCUCCAAAGAGUUGCUAAGAAACUUAAGUGAGACCCCAGGGUAGUGGUUCUUGAGGGGCAUCAGGAAGGACUACAGGUGAGGGCCACCAUCUAAGCCACUCUGAUUUAGAGAAUUAGGAUAUUGUCACUGUAAACAAAGGUCCUCUUGCUGGAGUUCUCAGAAAAUAUCUGGGUAUAGUGAGAAUGUUGGUUUCUUUGAAAAAUACAGAAAUAUUAUGGGAAUAUGUUUUGGUUUUAGUCCCAGGUGGGAUGUGAGGCUGCUUCAGACUGUCCUCUGCAGCAUGAUUUUGCCAGCUACAGGUAGUUUCUGCAGCUGUGGGAUGUGUGUGAUGUUUGACUUUCCAGAGGGUGUAUAAGUGCUAGGGCCCCGAGAGGUGGGGUGGGUUGUUUGUUGGUUGGUUGCUGUUGGUCAAGGUUUGUUAAGUAAUCAUGCGCAAAGAAGAAACAGGAAGAAGAAAUUUGAUAUCCUGAUGGCGAAGAUCAAACUUGCCUCUAGGAACUCAACGCUCAUAAUCAGCAGGAAGUAGUCUAAUGAUAACGUCACCCCCCUUUUCCCCUCCACCCUUUUUCCAAUGUUAGGGUGGAAAAGGGGUGGAGAAGGGUGGAAGAAAAAAGAACCCACAAAGUAGCCAAGUGUUGGCUACAUCCGGGAAAGAAGUAAAGCCAUACUUUAAGGUCAUACAGACAUAAAAUGUAAACGGAACGCUGGCCACUGUGCCAGCAUCUUUUACAGGAAAUGGUCAUUGUGCUGGAAUUCUUGGUUCUCGGUUGACAGGAAGCUUCAACCCACACUCUAGACUGAGGGACUCUUUCAUUCCUGAGACCCCAUCGUUUUUUCUUUCUGUCCUUCUUUGAUAUGGGACAUGACCUCCAGUUUUUGUGGGACAUGAUAUGCAAAUACGAGUCCCCUCCUUCUGACUUGGAAUGGAUCCGUGAGCCUAUCGAAUUUAGGAGAGGGGUGUGACACUUUACUGGUUGGGAAGCCUUUCUGCUAGUUGUCCUGGGUGACAGUGACAAAAUGUCCUCUUCCCUGGAACAACAGGCAGCUGUGUUCUCAUGAUACCUGUUUGAUACACAAAAGGUUCAAAAAGAAAAAAAAAAAAAGAAAGAAAGAAAAAAAGGCUGAAUCAACUCUAGAACUCUGCUGUUUCCCAAUCCAGUGUUCUUCCUAUCACACAGAAGGAGCAGAACCAUGCAAACUUCUCCAAAGGUGCACCCCAACCCUACUGCUGACACUUCGGCCUGGCCUGCAUGAGAGCACUUGGCCCGGUGUGUGGCAUCUAGCCUAGCGAGAAGGCUACUGGGAAUGGCCAUUCCCAUUCCUUUCUUAAUCAACCUCAGAACCCAGUUUCCAUUGCCCUGGGAAAACAUUGGCUUUAAGAAAAGAAAACCAUUGCAUUAGGCCUCCAUGGGUUUGGAAAUGCCAAGUGAGAGGCAGUAGGAAGUAUCACAGCUGCCCUUCUUAGUAAGGGAAGAAGGCGAGGGUGGUUGAGUUGUGGACCCUCAUGAAGGGACGGUUAUUUCCUCCUUACAGAGCAUGGCUAUCUUAUAGAUUUUAGGUUUUACUUUGUUUGGCGUUUUGUUGUUUUAUUUGUUUGUUUUUUUAAAAUCUGUUAUUAACACGAGUUUUGGUCAGAAGAAUGGGGUCUGAGUUGUACCCUUGACCCUGGGUUGGAAGUGUGGCACCCUAAACUGUCCAAAAGGUUUUACGAUGACAAAAGACAUUGCUUCUGCUCCUUCCCUUAAGAGUUAAUGCAAAUGAUCCAGUGAAUUAGUAAAAUGCCUUACAGAACACCAUAUUUCAAGGUCUGGAGUUAAGGCAUUCAGCAGUUAGGGGGUGUUUCCAAUCAAGAGGACAAGGAUUUGGAUCCUAUUACCCAAGUAACAAACCAGGCAUCCUGCAUAAACCCACAGACAGACAGAAACAGAGACAUCAAUAUUUUUCUCUUGUUUUUUUCUAAGCUAUCGCUUCGCGGAACAUAAUCUACCUGAAAACAUGUCAAAGAAGAAAGGGACAGAAAGGGACAGCUUCUCCUUCAUGAGUUAGGUACCUACACUCCCAGAAGCCCCUGGCUCUGUGUAGCUGCUUACAGAUUUCUCCCACUGCUAACCCUGCCCAAUUUCCUAGUUCAGAAAGCAUAGAACUUCUUUCCCUCUAUCUCUCUUACAAUCUUUUACACUAGUAACGAUUCUAAGCCUGCUUGCCUUAACAUUCUGAGCAUCCCCACUCUCCAAAGACUCCCCAUGCAGAGGCUCAAAGACAGUUUCCUAAGUGAGAAAGCUCUCACUACCUUUGUCUUCCUUUAGUCCAGCUCCCUCUUCCUGGCAGCUUUUCAGAUCCUCCCGCUAGCCCAGUCCAGUGUUUUUCUCUCAAGCACCAAUAAAAUUGUCCAUAACUUUUCUUCUGAGUCUGUUUCGAAAUUCUUUCAUCUGAGAACCUAUAAAAGAAGCUGAGCAAACCCAGCUGCCGUCCUUUAGCAACAUACUGGGUGUAAGGACACACACACACACACACACACACACAAUAGAUACAGUGGAUGACAAAGAGGCAGCUUGCUAAUUCCCAGCAGAUACUCGACCCCCUGGGAGGAAUGCUAACUGACCAAGUUAGUAAUGGGACAUCCCCAGUGAUCUAGGCAACUGCCUUUGAAAGAUGUGCCUGCACAGAUCUUCUCCCCCAUGAGUAAGAUUUGGCCAGGUAUGUGCUUGAAGAAGAGAUGAUCAAGGACAGUCUAAGCCAGUAUGAAGCAGAAGUGUGGUGAGGGUGAGUCUGCCCUUGAAAUGACCCAUCAAGAGAAAACUAUUUACCAUGCUAUAUACAUACAUAAUAGGGACAUACAGCCACCAAAAAUUAGGGGUUAUAUGGCCCCUGCGUACAUAGAACAUCAAAUGUUAUAAUCCAUUUGUCACUCAAGGAGCAGCCCAGCUCCUCCCUCCUCCUCCUCCUCCUCCUCCUCCUCCCCCUCCUCCUCCUCCCCCUCCUCCUACUCCCCCUUCUUCUUCACCUCCUUCCCCUCUUCCUCCGCCUCCUGGAAGUCAGCUCUCUCUCCCACUUCAACUCAGAAGAACCUCAACAAAGGAGUGGCUCUGGGGACAGAGCCUUGCUGCUCACUCAGCCCCUCUGCCUUUUUCUUCUAAACACAACCUUUUGCUAUCAACUACAUGUCUGACUUCAGUUGUUAAGUCACCAGAUCCCACAGUGGCACAGUUCACAGGAGGUAAGCUCACCAAAGGUGUCAUCACAGCUCAUCUCCCUGGCCUCUUGCCUUUCUUGCUGACUAUCUGUAGAAAGCACAGAGAAAAUGGUUAAACACCACUAGACUGUCACCAAUAGCCUUCCAUGACAAGGCAUCCAAGUACUAAAUAGCAAUAUAGGCUCAAUAUAGCACAAGACAGAGAUGCACUUGUGUGCACAUAGUGUCUGGCACUAAAAUGGAAAAAGGAAAAGCAUUGCUUUCUUUACUCUUCAUUCACCAGAAAUCCUGCCCCCAUUUUUCUUUUUCUCUGUAUCAAGAUAUGGGUUCCCAGUUUUCCAAUUUCAUGUGUAGACUGAGUUCUGGAGUUCAGGAACUUUCCCGCUUACUGCCUUUGUUAGAAGGCUCCAAUUAUUAUCCAGGACAAAAAAAAAAAUUACCUUGCUGAGUUAAACUUAAUGAGCCGCCUUCUACAAUGUUCCUCCCCAUCCCCCAUACACACACCAAGGGCUCUCAAGAAGCAGGACACAUUACGAUUUAUGGCUGUCUAAAUCUUUUGGACUUGGCAGAUUGGUUCUUCCUUUACUGAAGCAGAAUGUUCAAUUUGUUUGGUGGUGAGGUUUUGUUCUUUUCAUUUAAAUGUAUUUGUUGAGGGAGAUCAGUUGGGGGAUGGCGGGGGACUGGCACCCACGCUAGGGUAAGCACGUGGAAGGAAGUUAGGGGAUGGAUGGCCCACAGGAAUUUUUUCUCUCUUCUGUCCAUGUGAGUCCCAGGAAUCUAAACUCAAGUCGGCAGGCUUGCAGAGACCAUGCCCUCCCGCCAAGCCCCCUGAGGCCCCAGACUCAACCUGUUACUGCUUCUUAAGAGUCACCUGGCUCUUGUCUUCAAAAGAACAAAUUCUGUCAAGAGACAGGGACAGUCUGACAAAAGUUCAUUCAGCAGAGGCUAAGCAGAGCAAGCCCCCUAAAGACACAGACACAGAAGUUUAGAGUUGAGGAUUUAGGGAGGCUCUUAUGGGUUAUUUAUAAGGUGGGUGCCAUAUUUAGGGGUAAGAUGACCCUUUUUUGUGUCCCAAAUCAUGGUUGACAAGAUCUUCCUUUGGGGGUGUUUCUCUUUCCACCUCAUCUUCACAAGAGGAGGGAAGGUGUCAAAAAUCCUGGUGUAAGUAGCAUGGUGAGGUCAGGUCCUUUGAGGACUCAUAGUGGCCACACAGUAAUCGUAUAGAUCUUUAGCCACAAAGAGACCUUCUAAGGACAGUCAGGGGACACAGUCACCCCACAAAAGGGGCCUUCUGACAGUCAGGGGACACAGUCACCCCACAAAAGGGGCCUUCUGACAGUCAGGGGACACAGUCACCCCACAAAGGGGCCUUUUGGUAGUCAGGGGAUACAGUUACCCCACAAAGGAGCCUUCUGACAGUCAGGGGACACAAUCACCCCCAACAAAGGGGCCUUCUGACAGUCCCCUAGAUCUAUAACAGCAGCUCUCUCAGAUGACCUCAUGUCUGACUCCUUAUCCUGGGGUGGUCUCUUUCCUGGACUAAGGUGAAGGCCUUCUGAGAAGUCGUUCUUACAAUUUAGUCUGUUGCAAUUAGAUACAUUACUCUGUGAAAGGACAACAGUGUCUUGUAUAUAUUCUUCAGGUAGAAGCCUGACAAAACGAAUUGUGGUUUUUCUCAGACCCCUGUCUUUACUUUUGUCUGACCAGCUUGGCUAUCUCAUGCCCAGCUGCCAGCCUUCUUAUUUACUUUCCUUGGUGUUCCUGACUGGCCGUUUGAAUCCUGAUAUCUUAACGUUCCUGUUAAUCCACACCUAUGUUUGCGGUAUAACACUUCCCACCUCCAGGUGGUCGGGGAGCACAUUGGCCUCUAAAGGAAUGCCACGGGGAGGAUGUUAGGUAAUCAAAUUGCCAUUGUACAUACCCAGGAUGUCCCACCUGGAGCAAGGGACGAGUUGUAGGGAAACCUCCAGCUAAGGUUGGAAACUCCCAAGCAAGAGAGAUUCCAAAGUGGGGAGCCCCUGGAAUCUUCAGGAUGACCUGUUUCCCCUGCCCUACCCAGGGGUGGACAAAAGGCCUCCAGGAGUCACCAUAGCAAACUCUUCUCUUCCAGCAUGCUCCCCUCUCAAGUGUCUCCUUAACCAGCAGUGAGAAUUGUGUCUUACGGCAGUACUGCCUGGCUUCCAAACAAACUGGGGGGUGGAGGGAAAAGUCCUCAAUGAAGUGGUCUGAAUGAGAAUUCUAUUCUGCAACUUAGAUAUCUCUCACAGGAAACAAGGGAAAUGGUCUGAAUCCUGUGUGUCCGACCUUCAUGAUUCUCUAUCAGGAUCCAUUGGUCUGUCCAGGACACAAAGAAACAGAGGAAAUGGGGAAAGAAAAAAUCUUGGAUGUUCUAGACAAACCACUCCUGCCCCUUAAGAGUCUCUCAAGGGGACCUCUGGUACUCCCUCACGAAACCACUCUAACCAACACACCUCCUGAACCUGACCCCCAACGUCUCGUUUUAAGUUCCCAAUAUGUGGAUAAUAGAACCCUAUAUUCGAAAGCAUGAUCAGAGCUCCCACCACUGAAAGACAUAGCUGGAACUAAGCCCUUCCUGACAUCCAGUUACAUAAGGGGAAAACAGAAAUCGCUCCAAGAACCUGGAGUAGUUUCCCAGUGGCUUACAGACCUGUUUGUGCUGGAAAAUGAUCCUCUUGAUCCACAGAGACUCCUAGAACUGUUUAGACUUUCCUGUUCCCUCCCCACCCCCACCCCACCCCCCAUCACACACUCACUUGUUGCUUUGAAGGGCUUAUUUUUAUUCAUGAAUUCUUUAUUGACUUUAGCAGGCAAGCCUCUUUGCCAGGGAGAAACUUGAUAAAAUUCUAGGUAAUUUUACAAUUUAGACAGUUCCUGAGGUGGGAGGGGCGGGGGAGGGAGAGUAGCUCUCCUUCGGACAGAGGCUCGGCGCCUCCCUCCUCAGGCUGACCCUUGAGCUUGGUAUGCUUAUCAGCCUGGGUUCAGGAUUGAUAAAAACAGCCACGCCCAUUCAGAUCUCCUUGCAAGACCUCUUAUAUCCCCGCGAAGUCAGGAAGGCAAGACAGGUUUUUUUCCAGGCUUCACCCAACUGUAAAACCGUGUAAUACUCACUCUAAUACUCUUCUCCUGGCUGUGAAACUAUCAGUCAUAAUCCUUACCCGCCCCCUUUGGUGAUCUUCAUACAUCCUAAGGCAGGCUCCCGAGGGAUCAAGAUCAGAUAGAAAAGAUGUCUCUUUUCUCUCUAUCCCACUACAUUCAAGACUCCAGUUCCUACUGGCUUGUGAGUGGGAAACUCCACUGACUACGGGGAAAAAACCAACAAGAGCCAUACUACUCCCAUGAGGUACGUCCUUGGAUCAUUGGAGAUUCCCACACUUUUGUGCUAGGGCAUAAGGAAGGAAUUCCAGAGACGAUGCUAAAAGAGGGGACAGUCUUACAGUAUGCAGGUGGUCUGAUCAUCUCAUAUUAUUAAGAGCCCAAAUUUCUUGGCAGAGAGGGGAUAGAAAGUGUCAAUUUUUUUAAGGCACAAAUCUCUCUCAAAGGGGGUAACAAACCUAGGACACUCCCUUACCCUGCCCUGAGGCAACUUAUACCUACCUGACUAUGCUAGAAUGUUCACACACACAAUCUCCAGUCAGCAGUAGCACUUCUUUGAAGCGAUUACAAUUUUCCCAACUUGAGGCUUAUAGUAGAGCCCUAUCUAAGGUAACCGAAGGAGCAGAAAUUAACCCAUUGUAAUGAAAUUCAGAAACACAGACCGAGACUUUAAAACUUGCUCACCUUAUGCACCUGUCACAGGAAUCCAAACAUUCUCGUGGACAGGUUACUUCUCAAAAUGAUGCUCAACCCUGACAUAGGAGAGCCACUCAGGUCCACUCCAGAGGAAGGAUGGUACACUGGUGGCACUAGUUAUGCCUUCCAGGGUCAAAGAGAAGCUGGAUACAAGUAGAUCCAGCACAAGCUCUAUUCUCUUGCACCCACUGGAGGGCAUAACUAGUGCCACCUUGACCUGAGUCCUUACCCGAUGUAAGAGGGAAAGACUAACAUUUAUACUGACUCCAAAUAUGCCUUUACGGUGUUACCGACCCAUAUACCCAUAUGGAAGGAAUGAGGGUUACUGACGGAAAAGCAGUCCGCACUAAAACACCACAAAGAGAUUCUUCAGUUGCUGGAAGCUGUUAAUCUCUCAGAGAAGGUGACAGUGAUCCACUGGAGAGGUCAUCAAAAGGACCACAGCUCAACCUCUGAGAGAAAUGAAAAGGAUGACAGGCAAAAGCCAGGGUGCUAACACGCCCCCCUUCGCCUGUCCCUGUUCACCUUUCAGUAAGAUACCAGACAUAUGACUAUGGCCUCCCAGCUUAAUGUGUUUGUUGCAUUGCAUUUGUGUGUGUGUUCAGGUACACUCACCUAUGUGCACACAUAUGGAGGCCGUAGUAGGACAUCUGGGGUCCUCUUCUUUUCGCCUUAAUUGCCUUGAUGGUCUCUCACUAAUCCAACAGCUCACUGGUUUGUCUAGGCUGGCUACCCAGCGGACUCUCAGGAUCUACCUGUCUCUGUGCCCCAAUGUGGAGGUUAUAGGCACACAGUCAUACCUGGCUUUUUAUGGGGAUAUUGGGUAUUCAAACCCAGGUCCUGCAGUUUGCACAAGUAUUCUUCCUACCUACCAAGCCCAUUUCCCCAGCCCACUUCCUGCCUUUUGAUAGGUAUCAGCUUAUUGACAACCAUGAAGUUCAAUGUCAGACAUGUUCCCUCUGUGUAGUUUACAGCCCAAGGCCAAGAGUACCCUCCCUGAUUUUACUCUAUUUAAAAAAAAUAGUUGUACAGGUAAGGGCUGGUUUGCCUCCAUGGGCUUACAAGCAAUUCCUAGCAUCAGUAGAUACCUAUAUGGAUGGAAUGGGUAGAAUGUUUCACCAGCCACUAAGGUGGUUAAUGAAUUCCUCAGAACAAUUAUUUCCAGAUUCAGUCUCCCGAGAUCACUCCAAAGCAGUCAUGGACCGUCCUUUACCUCUUAGGUAACCCGAGGGGUUCCAACAGUAACAUCUACAUUCCGCUGGCACACCUCAGUUUUCUGUUAAUAUAGAAAGGGCCAAUGAGACUUGUAAUUGUUCACUGGCUAGCACGUGCCAGGAGACCUUAGAAAAUGGCUCACCUACUCCCAACAGCCCCAAUGAAGAUAAGAAACACACACCAUGAGCUUAAGGUGAUCCCUAUGAAAUGCUGUACAGCAGGCUCUCUCUUUAGAAAGAGGUUUGCUCGUUGGCCCUGACAAGACCCGCCCACUAAGGGACCUCACUGACUUGGGCCACUUUCUAUAAGCCAUCCACGAGUACAGGACCCCAAGCCCUUUCAGCUCUAGACCCUAACCUUAUCACUCUUGAUGGUCAGACAAACGGGAUGGGGGGGAAAGACUUGGGCAAGGAGAUCUUUAGCUAUUUGUGGCCACCUUGGCAGCCAUAUACAUUACUGAAAUGCUCAGCUGGAUUCAACUCUAAAGUCAAACCACCCCCUCCAGAUGCUUCUGUGCUGGGAGAGCCCACCAAAGAGUCUCAGAUUAAUAUACUCCUUUGAGCCAUAGACAAUAUAAAAUUCUUCUUCACAAGACACACUGACCAAACAGAUAAAUGACAGUUGAUCAGUGUGCUCUGGGGCAGCCUCUAUUUGAGGUAGAAGUGUCUCUAGGAUUGUCCCCUCUUCCACUAGAUCUGAUUGUGAGUUCCUGCUCACUUCCCCUGGGGUUGAAUCAUUCCUUAACACACCAGGCUUCCCUUCAAAGAACCUUCCUCUGCCUUUUGUAAUCACAAACACCCUAAAAACCUUUCUUUCGACUCUUCUAUUCCCUCCCAUGUUAGAUCUUAAAGAACCCACUGCUUAUGACCUAGACAGUCAAACUGCUUCUCUUUGAACUUUGAAGUCUCACCUACCUCCCCGGGCUGUGUCUCCUCUUCAGGUUAGAACUACAUACAGCCAGCAUCAGCCCAAGAAUGGGCUUUAGGAAAAACAAGGACAGGACAUAUGAGGCUCGUCUUUCUGGUCUUCUGCCAAUUGGUGGCUAUUGUCCCAGAAAGAAAGAAGGAGAAAAAAACUCUGGUCCACUCCCAUACUAAUUACAAGUGGAAAUCUUUCCCUCUCUACCGGACUGUUGUUCAUAUAUAUGUAUAUCCAGCCUGGGAAGCGACUGCCAGGUUCCCUUUCUGUAUAUGUGAUAUGGCGAAGGUGACGCUGGCCUGUGAGUGGGAAACUUACCUGCCUAUCAUUGCUAAGCUACUUCCCUCCUGGGGACUCUACAGCUACUUAAUCAUUCCACUGGGAUUAACCUUAAAGAUAGCUGUAAUCUUUUCUCUCUGAUGUCUUAUCAAACUUCUAACUUAUCUUAUGAAUAAUUUAACUCCCUUUUUGUCCUGAAAAAGGCCUACCUUGAGGUUAUCCUAAGCCUCUUACCUGCAAAACGCUAGUAAGAACAGUUAUUUUCUCUUUACUGACCAUGGGGCAGGCAAGCAUAGGGAAUAGUUUAGCAACCUAGGGCUCCACGUGACUUAGGCUAUGCACACAGUUUUCAUCUGAUAUUGUACUGUCAGCAGAGACUUACUUCAGCUGAGCAUACUGUCCACAUGCAUCCCUCUUUAUGAACAAUAUUCCUUGUAAUUUCUUAGCAGCCUGCAUCUCCAUGGAGCUGCAUACAUGUUCUACUCUGAACAACCGAGUUAGAAGUUUCUCUUCCACGAAUGGCUAACCUCAAACUUAGACUCUGUUCAAUCAUACUCUUCUUGUGUCCAGGAAUACAAAGGCCCAUCUGACCUGAGCUAGCUUUGGGGUAUGUACCAGGCAAACUGUGUCCUCCUUAGGAAUUUUAACGAGAAUCCCCAAAUUAACAUUUUUAUGUCUAUGCAUUAAUUGCACAUGCAUACAAUUAAAAUCAGAUGCACUGUGGAAAGAGGCAAAACACAGUACCGAAAUGGUGAGGUAUCUUAAACUCUCCAUCAAAAGAGAGAACUGCUCAAGCUGCGUCCUUAGAACCAAGUUCCUCUUCCUCCUCCUCUAGAGCCCCAUAAAAGGGAAGUUUACAUAAUUAUCAUGGAGCUGGACCUACGGCUUCACUGUCAAUCUUGAGAAUGCAGUCCUUUCCCGUCUGUCAGCACUCUGAAUAAAGAGGCCUUGCUACUUUGCAGUCUGUGUUCUCCUUUAUUCAUUAUGAGUGAGAUGCCAAGGACCUGGAAGCAGGUGCCCAGAGCCCCACCACUACGACAGCUAGGACUUAGGUUCCUCCCAAUUCCUAUGGGAUCCUGAAAGAGGUGCUUUGUAUUUCCAAAGAUGAGAAAACCAAGCCCAGACACCAAUCCUAAAGAUUUUUCCCCCUUUGGUGGGGCCCAAUUCGGCAGCUCAGGGAUUAAUUCUACAGGGUCAAAUUAAGGACAGGAUAGACCCACCAUUUACUCAGAUCCGUAUUUGAUUGGGUUUUUUUAUUGUUUGUUUGUUUUAAGAAUUUUAUUUAUGCAAAGACAAUUUUUGCAUCAUUUCCAUUCAUUAUAUGUGGAUAUAGACAUAGCCUGAUGAAUCUGCUUAAUGCUGCUAGUGUAUGUAUGUGCUUAGGGGUGACUAGCUGUAACUGGAUAAACUAUCAGAUACUCAUCCUUAGAAAAACAGGAUUCUUCUCCUUUCGGGAUCUACUGUCUACUCGCUGCCCGAGGCUGUUCAUCUAAGGGCAGGAUCUUAUUUCCCCCAUCCCUGUUGACAUGUUAGCUGGUGUUGUCAUUGCACGGGUCUUGCUCAGGCAACCAUAUUUAUUUCAUGGGUGCCAUUUCUCUGUCAAUGUAUAGAAGACAUUAUCCCACAGCAGAUAUUCUGUUCCUGGGGCUCUUGGUACCUUUCCACCUCCUUUUCUAUAGUAUUAUUUGAUCCUUAAAGGUAGAGGGUGUAUUUGCAUCAACUGGGGUUGGGUACCCCAUAGUCGGUUUGUCUUCUAUGUGUUGACUAGCUUGUGGCUACAAAAAAAUAAAGUGGUAGGUUCUCCUCUAGGAUCCAUGACAUCACCAUGGCAUCACCAGCCAUGGGAUAAUUUGCAGUACCAGCUAUGCAUUCUCUCCUAUUGAGCAGGUCUUGGGUCCAAUUAGCAAGCUGUUGGUUACCCUCGAGACGUACAUGCCACUAUUGCACGAGCACAGAGACUUUGCCGUUCUGAUCAUUGCUGUGGCUCGAAGAAUCUUUGGAUACUAUGAGAGCUAGUUCAUAGGGAAGAAGCUUUCAGAUCAGCUCCAUCUUGAUUUCUCCAACUUCUGUGUCCAAAGUGUGUGCUGUCUUCCACAAUAGGGCUUUGCCCUCAAGUUCUGUGAGUCAAUCAGGGGCAACAGAAAUAGCCCACGUUGUUUUGAGAAUCCCUUCACUUUAUUGACUAACAAUGGAGAGGUUUUCCAUGGUUGACAUUACAGAUUUUCUCAGUCUAUGGCUUUUGAGGGCAGCAUUCUCACCCCACAUGAAAUAACUUUAUUCAAACUAUGUCUAUGUGUCUAUAUACACAACACAUGCACACAUAGGUAUGAAUCUUUAAAUGGCUAGAAUUUUACGUAUACAAGGGUUUUGCCUGCAUUUAAGUGCGCCGUGCGAUAUAGUGCCUGCAGAGACCAGAAGAGGGCAUCGAAUCCCCUCUGGAAUUGUAGUCAGAGGUGGUUAUGAGCCACCCUGUGGGUGCUGGGAACUGAACUCUGUCCUCUGCUAGACUGCAAGUGCUGAGUCAUCUCACUACCCCCUACAUUUUAUUUUCCCCUAUGGCUUUUCCAAAAUAUCCUUAGUAGUAUACUCUUCCUCCUUUCCUCACCUAGCAUUGGCCUCUCUCCCAAUGUCCGAGUUAACUGCCCCAUUUUUCUCACCUCCCCCUUCACAGCCUCUAGGUUUCCUUUUCUUCUGCUGUCCUUACCUAUGGUUGGUUCUUCUUUACUUUUCUGGUUUCUGUGCUGGCUCCACGAUAUACUCACACUGGAAGCUAGGAUCGACAAACGAGAGACUGUGCUGUGCCUGUCUUCUGGGUCUUGGUUACCUCAGUAUAAUAAUUAGGGAUUCAUCAGAGAACCUGACCUUAAGACCUCAGACUAAUUAUCUUCUCUAUAAGUGAAAGCACCAGAUUUUCAAGGUUAGUAUUAGAUAGGGGAGGGGGGUGUGAGGCCUGUCCCCAUAUGGACAUGUGGACUGCAGCUUGCUCCUUGGAAGUUAAGACACCAGAUAACUCCUUGUCUUAUGUUUUCCUAUGUAGAAACAUUCCAUCCCAGGUAAGCAGCUUCCUCGUCAAUGCCACUCUGAGUGGAUUACAUACUUGGGGCCUCCGGCUAGCAGCCUAUCCACUAGGAGAAGUUCUUCAAAAAUCUAACAGCAACAACUAGCAAAAGAGACAGCCAAGCCAAGGGCUUUUAGGGAAACAGCACCGUCUCACCUACGUCCAAGAUCAUUUGGAUUCCCUUGCCGAGGUUGUCCUUCAAAGUAGAAGGGGCCCCAAGGAUGGAGCAGGCGCUCGGCCUGCAGUUAAAGGCCCACACUGCUCUCUCAAUAUCAGAGUUCAAGUCCUAGAACAAGCAGGCAGCUCACCACCACCUGAAGCUCCAGUACUAAAGGUAUCAGAUGCCUCUGGCCUCCAAAGGCACCUGCAAUUGUGCACUUAUCCCCACCCUACCCCCAACACACACACACACACACACACACACACACACACACACACACACACACACACACAUUUAAAAAUAACAAAGAUCUGAAACUAACAGCAUGGACAAGCCUUUGGCUAACUUAUAGGAGUACAUGGGGUGACCUGUUAAUUCCUCCAGGUGAGAAUAAGACCAUGCCCAUAAUCAAAGUUAAAGCAAGUACUGGCCAGAAUGGUGGACGUUGGUCAGCUCCAUUCCUGGGUUCUCAGAAAAUAGAGAUGAGUCACAUUUUGCAGAGUUUUAGGAAGGCAAACCUUAGGCCAUGCAUUUUCCAUUUAAGUCCAAUCGGGCAAAUAUAUACCCUGACAUACUUCCUGUUCCCUACCUCCCGCCUACAUCCAUCGGGGCAAGCAUACAUCCUGGCAUAUUUCCUGCCUCCGUACCUCCUGCCUAGACAGGAUGUGAUCAAGCACAUCUGGUGCAGUUGGGUCAAACAGAUGCGUGUAGGGGAAUGGAAACACGUGACUUGAUAUUCUUCAUAAGGAAACAGUAACCUUCAGCAUCUCAGGAGGGGGUCUCUGUCCUUGAGCCAAGGGGCCUACAGGUUAGAGGUGUUUUGGUUCCAUGGCUCACAACCUGCCUGUGUCUUACAGGAAAAUGUUGCUUCUAAGUGAACAAGACAAGUAAAGUCCCACAAAAUGUUGAAAAUAUUCCUUUUUUCAAGGAAGGCGGUAUGGUCAAGCCCUUGAGUAAUAGACCUUCCCCAGCAUAGGUUGAAAAGCUGGGGUCUUACUGGCCUCCUUCCUCUAGCUGUGUCUGCUUUACCCUUAAUUUUUCUGCUGAUCCCCCCGCACACACACACAUCUUCUCAAUAAAUGAAUAGUUCAUUUCUUCUAGGAUUCAACAAGUCUAGCUUGAAAUGGCACUAUAACAAGACCUCAGGCCGAUUCCAGAGACAGGGACGGAUUAUCCUUCCAGGUCAACCAGAAUAGGAGCCUGACAAUUGCAGCAAGGAGAACAGCCACCCUGACCACCCACUUGACCCCUCGUCAAGGGAUGCUUGGACAAUUUUUAGUCCUGCCCAAGGGAGCCUCCCUUUAGGAACGGUUGGAGAGACCAUCUUCUAGUUUUUACAAUGUCCGUAUUUCAAUGAAAACCAGCUCCUGGAACCUUAUCCUUUUGCUUAUGUAAAAGAUUUAAGGAGAACGGUCUCUCAGAGGGAAAGUUGAGGCGAGUUAGUGUAGCAACAGCCCCAGAGACUCAGUCAACUCUCCCUGAAAGAAUCUGCACUUGUCCCUUCCCAGCAAGGCAAGAGCCUAUCAGCAACUAGUUUUUGGUUGGAUACCUGCUUGUAGAAAAAGGGGGCAGCAUAAGCCAGUAUUUAGCACAAAGAGAGCAGGUCUGCCCUUGAAAUGACCUGUCUCAUUACCAUCUCAUGAAUAUGCAUGAUUAGGGAUACUUGUCUAAACUUAAGAGAUAUACAUCCAGAGUAUGUAUGUUUAAUAUUAUGGGGUUUGCAGAACAUCCCAAGUUAUAUGAUAAUGUAUCUGCCAGUCAAGCCAAGGGGCCACCCAGUUUCCACACCUGGGAAUCAGCUCCUUCCCCACCCCUAAACUCAAAAAAAAAAAAAAAAUCCUUGAAAAACACAGGUAAGGCACUCAACAGCCAUCUGACUAGAGCCUGACACUGGCUUGCAGUGUAUCUGCUCUAAUGUUAAUUUCUCUUCUGACAAAACCAUUAUCUGUUGUGUAUACUUUCUCAAUCGUUUGAUAAAGUCUCCAAGAACCUGGGACUCAGAGCAAUCACUGGACUCCACCGUACCACCACGGCUUGCCCUCUCUGAGACGGGUGAGGCUCCAGAGACUGUUCUGAGUUAGGCUCUCAUUGUCCGUCCCUAUGAAGCAUUACCUGUCAGUGAGUCAGACUCCGCCAAGCAGUUACAGUCUGAUCACUGGGGGUGCCGAGCGGGGUGGGGAAGUCGGGGACGUCCUUACUGUGGGUCUUUUGUCUCUAUACUGAGAAUGCAUCCUCCUGGAGGCCCUGCACCUAGUCCUGCCUUGCCUGUGUGACAACCCACAAGCCAUUGUGCACACUGGAAAUCUCCACUGGGAGGAUUCAUCUGAGUUCCCCCACCAGUGGGCCACCAUCUCUGGUGCACACCCUCCUCUCCUGCCUCUGUACAGUGUCUGAGAGCAGCUGUGAGUCCUGGGACACUCCAUCCAAAACUUAGUACAUCAGCCAUGGCCCGUGCUGAGAGGGAGAAAGACACCCCCGUCGCUGCUGAGCAUCUGGAAGCAGAGCCACUCAGUGUUGUGUGUGUUGAAAUAGCUCUUGCUCCUUAAUUGUGUGUUGCUCGGGGUUAUGUUAAAAUUAGUAUGUCCAGGAUAUAGCAGUGAGGAAAGAUGGCCCAGAAACCUUUUUUAGACAGGAAAGGGAAUGCUGGCCUGCUUUUCUCUGUGUUGCACAGGGACAGAUCACAAAGUGAACCAGAACUGGUAAAGAUGUUUAUUUCCUUGCUGCUGUCUUUUUGUCCCUGGCAAGGAGAAGGGUCUCCCUACAACACAUUACGGUCUGUCUUCUCCUCGAAGGGUUACCUUCCUGUAUCCCUCAGUGUCCCAAAGGGGCUUGAAAGGCUGUGGCUUUCCCACGUUCUGAGUUCCUUGUGCCCUCUAGGCCAUGAUAGAUACACAAGUCAGUCUAUAAAAGCUCCCAUUUUUCUUUUUGUCUUUUUCCUGGCUGCCACCUCCAGGGACUCGUUCAAAUGCUCUUGAAAAAUAUAUCCAGCCACUGGAUGACAGGGAUUACUGCACAAGUGUGUCAGUUAACAACCUUUUUCUCGUUCAUUGAGGGAGGGGGGGCUGAGACUCACAAGUGGAAGUCAGAGAACACGAGUUGGUCCUCCCCUUCCACCACAUGGACCUUGGGGAAUCAAACUCAGGUCAUCCGGCUUGGUGGCAAGCACCCUUAACUGCUGAGCCAACUCAACGAUCCAUGCCUCAGAUUUUGUUCAGCCAUAUGAUUUCAAGAGUCUGUUGCUGAAGCUGGAUCCUGGCUUCUGACUGCACAGAGCACAGUCACUCCCCCAACUUAAGAUGUUGUCUUAGGGUUUCCAUUGCUGUGAACGGACACUGAGACCAUGGCAAGCCAUAAAAGGAAAAGCUUUGAUUGGGACCACCUUACAGUUUCAGAGGUUUAGUCCAUUAUCAUCAUGGCAGGAAACAUGGUGGCGUGCAGACAGAUAAGGAGUCGGAGAAGGAGCUCAGAGUUCUACAUCAUGAGGCAGCAGGAAGAGGCUGUGUCACACUGGCCAGACUUGAGCUUUUAAGACUUCAAAGCUCGCCUCCACUAUGACACACUUCCUCCAACAAGGCCACACCUCUCAAUAGUAUCACUCCCUAUGAGCCAAGCGCGCGCGCGCGCACACACACACACACACACACACACACACACACACACACACACACACACACACGUCUCUAGGGGCCAUUCCUAUUCAGACCACCACAGGGGUUCAUACCCCAACACCCCUAGUGCGUUAUUGUUUUGAUAAAUACUGUGGUGGCCAGUCUUAAUUGUAAACUUGAUGAGAUAUAGAAAUCACUUUGUCCGUGAAGAUGUCUCUACUAAAGGUUGACUAAGGUAGGAAGACUGGUCCUGAAUAUUGGCAGCAGCAUUCCACAGGCUGAGGUCACAGAGAGAAAAAGUCAGAGCAAGUUGAGCACCAACAUUCGUCAUUGCCUGCUUUCUGUCAUUGCAGCCCCAGCAGCCGCCUCACACUCCUGCUGCCCCACUCUCACUGCCGAGAAGAACUGCCUCACAGUAAGCCCUUCCCUGCUCCCGAUGCUUCUCUUGGGCAACUUUCGUCACAACAAUAACAAAAUUAACUAAUAUACACAUACAUAGAUAAGAGUUUUGGUUUGGUUUGGUAAAUAGUCAUUUUUUUUUUAAUUGUGUGUACGUGCCUGCGUGUGUGGAUGUGACUGAGGAUGUCCACUGAGGCCAGAGGAGGGCAUCCAAUCCCCUGGAUCUGGAGUCACAGACCCUGGAUAUGGACAGUGUAUUCAGUAUGAACAAGCUGGACAGACAGCUUACUUCCUAAGAAGGGCAUUGCAAGACAGCGUGUACAUGAAAAUGCAUGUAUGUACUGUUUCCUUUUGGAUUUUUCCACAUUAACGACAUCUUCAGGCUAUGACCUUCACCACGUGGUGGCUGCUUGCCCUCUGCUGCAGGUAAUCAGACUGAGAGACUGAAUCUUGUUUCUAGUUUCUGGUCAUUGGCGAGUUUGAGCAUCUCUCUGUGUGUCCCUUAGGAUCCUGUAAUUUCUGGUUACUUGCCUGACUUUGUAACCAGUUUCCUGUCUUUUCUUUCCUUUCUUGCUGUUGUUGUCAAUGUUGUUUAAUUUGUUGGUUCUUUUUUGUGUCGUUUGUGUUUCCUUUCCACUGCAGUACUGGGGAGUGGUGUACACAGCUACUGUACUGUGUAUGAGGCAGUUUCUCUACCUCUGUCCCUUUUUUAUAUUUUAAGGUGAGGGUCUCCUUAAGUUGUCCAGGCUAGCCUUGAACUCACUCUGUAGCCCAGGCAGGCUUUAAACUUUGUAUCCUUUUGCUUCAGCUUCCAAGUAGCUGGGAUUACAGGCUGGUGCUACAACACCCAGCUUCUGGGUUGAAAAGUUGUAAAUAACUUCACAUCCACCACCAAUCUGUCAUCUUGGCCCUUUAUUUAACACCAUUUCUUUGCAUUUUAUUUGUCCCCUAACUUACCCCCUCUCCACCACCACCAUACACACAGCGGGAGAGAGAGACGGACAGAGACAGAGAUCGCACCCCCAUCACUGCUCAUAACAAGAACAAGCCCUCUUCUCCACGACAUCACAUUCACCUCUCGAACGCAAAUUUAUCUCUGGAAAUGAGAGAACACUACCUGUGCACCAGCCCUCAUAAGCGCUCACUAAUGGCCACGCCACCACCAGCAGACCUCCACACUAUGUAGCACAUUACAGUGGAUGACAGGAGAAUCUCAUUUCCACCUUUUCCAAAUUGUCAUAGGAAUCAAUGGCCCCCUCUUGUCUCAUGAGGUUCGGUACUUGUUAAGGCACUAGACAGAUGGCUCAGGAGUUAGGAGCACUUGCUGCUCUUGCAGAGGACCUGAGUUCAGUUCCCUGCACCCUCAUGGCAGCUCACAACCAUCUGUAAACUUUGGCCCAGAAGAUCUGACGCCCUCUUCUGCUCUCCACGGGCACUGUACACACAUGGUACACAUACAUACACACAGGCAAACACACACACACACACACACACACCCAUAAAUAGUCCUCCUCACUCUCUAAGCCCAUCCCCCACACUCUGCCAUUCACUCACUGUUUUUAAAGCAGUGCUCCUGUGUGGGUUCAUUUGGAAAGUUUCCCACAUUGCUAUGAACAUAGUCCUAGGUCUCAUCGCCUUUAAUAAAAGUUAAAAUCUCAUCAUUAAAGGUCUUUCAAAUUCUUGGUUAGACUUUUCCCAAGGAAACGAUUUCAUAAUUUUAUUUUAGCCCUGAAAGAAGCAUUCAUUUCUCCUCUUAUGGAUUCUAGCUGGCUUGAAGGAAAAUUUGAUUUUUUUCCUUUUGUAAGUGAUCCUCUUGGCUAAUAACUUGGCUGACAUUUUAUUGUAGUGAUUCCCCUCUUGACUCUGUGUUCCGUUGAUUCUGUGUUUUGUUCCAGGUCAUAAUAUAAGAUGAUUAAUAACCUCCCAGUUAGUAGACAUUUUCACAGCAAAUUGUGAGAUGUCAAUUUUAUCACAUUUAGGGCGAUUCCAGCUGUACGGCCGCCUCCUUUCAUAGAUUUCAUGAUUCUGACUGACACUUGGUUGCUUAUGAAUUUACUUCUAGAGUUGGUCUAUCUGCCCAUUGUAUACUUUAGAAUAUACUCUUGGACUCGGAGACCUAAUAUUUUAUUAGGAAAUCCAAAUUAAGUAGAUUGUGAUAUUCUUUAUCUGAUCUUGAAGCCAAGUACCAGCUAGUACCACAAAAUAUGUGAGACAUACAACUCUCUUCCUGUUUUCUGAAAUAUCCUGGUUCCUUAAAUUUGGUGAAACUGGCCUGAAGACUAUGGAUGUGGGCCUUUUAUCCAGGGAAUAAGGCAUGGUUUUAGUUUUCAGUUCCUUUCAUAGCUCUACAUUGUAGACAUUUUCUGUUUUCCUACAUUAUAUAUAUUGUAUAUAUCCUAAUAUAUAUUAUAUAUACUUUUUAUUUUAUUUUUAUUAUAUAUAUACCUUCUCGUUCUUGACAUUCUCGUUUUGUGUGUGUGUGUGUUUGCCAGCCCGUCUCCUCCCUGGCACUCCACUUUGUGUCACUUGUUCCUGGUCACUUUUGCAAUUGAUGUCCUCAUUUUCAUUGCUUGGCCUUUUUAUCUGGUGAUGAGAACACGUCCUCGUAAGCAUUGGCUGUCUCUGUCCUCCCUGGCUUCUUUCUUUACUCCUCUUCACUGUUUUAUAUUUCCCUAUAUAAAUGCCUCUUUAACUAGAAAUUAUUUACAAAGAGGUGACAACUCUCAUGAACUGAACCUUAAUUAUUAAUUAUUAAUUGGUGGUAUUCUGAUCUGGGACUCUGGGCUCUCCUCACUCUCCUUGCCUAAGGAACUGUGAUAGCUUAAAAGAGGUUUGCUGUGUUGACCCUUGUUUGGCUCUUUGGGUUUUGUGUGUUUUGGGGUUUUGGUUGUCAUUUGUUGUUUUGUUUUUGAGACAAGAACUGAUCAUGGAGCUCCCAAACUUGCCUCAGUCUCCUGUGUGCUGGGAUUACCCAAUCAGAGCCUGUGAAGACUUCCUGUCAGCAAGGCAAAUGUCCAUUCGACUCUCAGCUUUGAGGGAAGAGGUGUUUGUUUUAUGUUUAGUUGUGUUCUGUUGGAAUUGUUAAGAUUUGUUUUAUGUGUACGGGUGUUUUGCAGCCCCUACUCCCCCGCCCCAUGUGUGUGUGUGUGUGUGUGUGUAUGAGACUGUGUGUGUAUGUGUAUGGGUGUGUGUAUGAGACUGUGUGUAUGUGUGUAUGUGUGUGUUUAUGAGACUGUGUAUAUGUGUGUGUGUGUAUGAGACUGUGUGUGUGGUGUGUGGUGUGUGGUGUGUGUGUGUGUGUGUGUGUGUGUGUGUGUGUGUGUGUACACAUCACCUACAAACCUAGUACCCUCAGAGGUUCAGAAGAAGGUGUUGGUUCCCCUAGAACUGGAGUUAGAGACAGCUGGGAGGCAGGGUGUAGGUGCUGGAAACCCCAGUCCGUUGCUUUUUUUUCUGUCUGUAGGUUAGUUGAUUAAUUUCAGAGAGGUUGGUGUUAGUAGUUUGGUUUGGGUUUUUUUGGGGGGGAGUGGGGGGUAGAGGUUGUUUGCAUAGUCCGUAUCCAAAUUCAUAUUCUUAAAUUUUAUCACAGUGGUAUCUAUAAGGAUUUUCUUUUUUCUUUUUCUUUUUUUUUUUUUUUUUCAGAGCUGGGGACCGAACCCAGGGCCUUGUGCUUGCUAGGCAAGCGCUCUACCACUGAGCUAAAUCCCCAACCCCAUCUAUAAGGAUUUAAAAAAAAAUUUUUAUCUAUAUCAUCAGGCAUUCUAUGGGCCUCUUUCAAUAUGAAGUCUUACAUGCAUUUCUAUUUUCAAAAAUUUAGUCAUUGUAUACAUUUGUAUUUCUUCUUUUCCUUCACCGUCUAUGGACCUUGGCCUGUCUUCUUCAUCCAGUCUCCAUUUGUUUAUCCCUUACCUCUCUUCCCUAAUCCUUUUAGGAGACGUCCAAAACUCCAUCUUCAGGCUCCUGGAAGUGUUCUGGGUGCCUUCUGCUGAGUCUUCUGCCUAAAGUGGUGGGUCUUCAAAACUGCUUGCUCUUUCUGCUUCCGGCGUAACCACAGGCGUUUCUUUCAAGAUACAAUGUUCAUUCCAAAUUCCUCUUUGCUUAGGGCAUUUCUUCUGUUCCUUCCAGCGCUGUCUGGAAGCCAUCUCCUUUCCUAUGGACCCCUUGACCAGCAAUCACCAUAGGGGAAAGUAUGCUUCUGGGGUUCCACUGCUGUGUCAUUAGUGAAGGCAAGGGGCUCUUGUCGAGGGGCAGAGUCUCCAGGAGAGAAACUUGGUUGGACUCAGAACAGGGACCCCAGUCUCAAGGAAUCUCCCAGCUGCACACUUUUCUUUCCUGGGCUUAGGGAAGAAUCAAAAUGGAAGACUGUAACAAUUACCGUUAACAUUGUUAACCUGACAGGAUCUGAAAUGGCGUAAAACAAGCCUCCCAGUGCAUCCAUGAGGGAUUAUCUAAAUUAGAUUAAUUGAGGUAGAAAAAGGAAAAGGCUAGCUGAGCUCAGUAAAGCAUUCACCAUUCUCCUUCAACAUUCAGAAACAAUGACCAGCUGCUUCAGGCUCCUGCCUCCGGGGGAUAGAUAGCACCAUUGUACUGUGAACCGAGAUCAACUCUUUCUCUUUCUUCUGGGAAUUGACUUUGUCAGGAUAUUUUAUCACAGAAAACCAAAGUGAUACAAGGACUCAGUUCUGUUCCUCUUGCCUUUAUUCCACUCUAGCUCACUUCACCCUGUCUUGAUGCUGACCUCCACUCAGAGCCAGGAGCGUAUAUCUGCAGAGCUACACUUCUAUCCGGGGUGACAAGAAGAGGGUACAAUCUCUGAGGGAAAAAUGGAAUGUCCUUUUUCUCAGCCCAGGCCCAUCUCUGCACACGUUCUACAUCCUUUCUAGCCACAGUUUCUACUUUUCUCCCAACUGGCUGCAUUUUCCGUUGCUUUGGGAACAAGGAGCAGCUUCCCGACCUUUCGUCCAUUUCUUCUGGAUGUGAGAUGGAUGGCUUUUGUACCUGUUUCCAACGAGGUCCCUUCUGGAGCUAGAAAUCAUCCAGAUGAGGUUGCCAAGUCCAAAAGAGCCUGGGAGGGGAGGCUGGGUAGUCCCUUCGGCCUAUGGCCAGUUAUCACACAAUAGACUUGCUUGCUUUUCCGCUUCUCUUUCUAACCAUGUUAUAACCCAACACUUAGGUCCAUUAUCCACUGCCUUGGUGUCUCUGUACUCAAUAAACAAACAAACAAGGAAACAAAUUGGCAAAGGAAAGUGAGCUUUUUAGAGUUUGAACAAACUGAGGAGAGAAAGAGCCUACCUUCUCACUGCUGUGUCUGACAUGUUAUAGGAAGCGGAGAGACAAAGGCCAGAUGAGACACACAGAUUUGGCUGUUCGGUGUAGUAAUCAUUUGUUUUCUUGGGACAGGGUGACUAAACGUCUGGCAGCCACCUGUCUCAGGUGGAAAGGACUGUUCCAAACCUCCAAGUCACACUAUCACAGCAGCCAUGAAGCAGUAUUUGCUCUGCAUUGGCUGCCCAAGGCCUCAGACUUCCCUCACAGAAGUCUCCAUUCUCCAUUGCCUUCCACAUAACCCCUUCUAUCAUUGGUGCUUUUCCCACAUCAAGCUAUUUGGGAGGUCUUUGGUCCCUCGUAGACAGAACUGUGGGAUCCACAUGGUGAUUUAGUACAUGGUGGUGGGCCUGAAAGUGUCCGAAGUCACUGCUGUCUGGUGGACUAUCACCUUCUCAGGGCCUCUCCUGCCUCCCAACCCUUAAAUAGGAGUGUUCCUCAAGUCUCCAACUCCACCCUGCCCUCUAUGCCUCUUGAUACUAAUCUUCUCAGCGCUUCUUCACAGUGACUUUGCAACCCUGACCUUGUGCCUCUACACCUCUUCUCCAGGGCCUUACCUCAAAUCUCUUAUCUCCCUGGCCCUCUCUGAGAUGGCCACUGUCUUGGAGUCCACUUCCACUGUGGUUGACAAGAGCCCCAUGAGCAGCUACUGUAAUUUCCCCAAGUGGCCUUACAGCCUCUGCUCUUAGCUUCUCCCUGCCCAGUCUCUGAAAUGUAGGCAAGUGGCUAUUUCUCAACAACCUAUGGCACUUCUCGUGUGAGCCUACAUGGCUGCUGACUUCAAAGUUAACUCAUUACAGGGCAGUCCCAGCCCUAGGACUAAAGUCUGAGCCCUGAUCCCUUCCCUGUACUGCCUCUGCCUCAAGAGAGGGGAUGUUCCUCAUCUCCCAAGAGGCCAUGGACCCUGCUUCUUUCUGGUACUUCUGGCACCGCAUCCUGAGACUAGGAUGUCAAUGCCUUGUCCUUUGCUUCUGUUUUUCUAGCAAGUCUCAUAGUGCUGAGAUGUGCAGAAAGAUUGGGUGCGUGAAUGAAUGAAUGAGUGAAUCAAUGAUGCCUUGUGUGCUAGCAAUCAAUAUUCUGCUCUGUAGCUCAAAACCUGCCUCCAGUGUACUAAUAGUUACGGUUACAGCUUGGUGUCAGAGUGGAGGCUUAGAUAAUCGUUUUUAAAUUAUGUUAUUUGGCAAGUUCAACAGAUGGGCAGGACAAAGAUAUGGGAAAGGAAUGGACUGGUUAUUGGCUGUCUACUUAACCACUUCUCAGAAGGGGUCUUUAGGAAAUGCUAUGGCAUCUAAUCAUGGAAAACUCCUGGGAGCUGUUUCUUUGUUGUUGUUGCUGUUGUUGUUGUCUUUUGUUUGUUUUUGUUUUUGUUUUCUCAUUUCUUGCUGUACUAGUGAACUGAACUCGGUGCCUUGUUUGCUACCAAGUACUCUAGGAAUUGAAGUUUAUCCAACUAUGAUAUCUAUCACCGCUUUGAUUAUCAGGAUUCAUGUGGGUCAUCUGCCAGGCUAAGAAGGUGUCCCCUUCCUCACUUACUGUUCAUGCAUGCCUCUUUCGAGCUGCACUUGAUUAAAGAGGAUGACCUUUCCUAGUAAAGGGGACCACUCUUUGGUCACAAGCACAUGAAGAUCUGAGUUCUCUUGCCAGAACCUCUAAAGAAGAUCUCAAGGUAAAUGCUUGACUACUGAGUUAAAGCUAUAAACCUCUAGAAUAGGUUGCAAACAGUGUUUCCUGCAUUUUGUGACCUGGGAUCAAGGAAUAGAAAGGGUAUCUAUCUCUGCUGAGUACACACAACUAAAUGGCCAUACUCCCAUAUUGUGCAUGCACAGGUCCCUAUAGCAUCCCCAGAACCAUGCUCUUUCCAAUCAUGAUUGGCCAAGUAACCAUGCAGGUUGAAGAGUUGGAAGGAUGCGUCAGAGGCAACACUAAUGCCAGGGUCUUGGUAAGAGUCCAGAGAUUCCAGCUGACGUCAUAACAGGGAUCCAGACAUAGUUCUGGGGCCACUCAGAGGCCAUGCUGCCCAGCUCUGUGUCCAGUCGGAUAUGCCUAUGAGAACAGUGAGGGUGAUGGUAAGCUCGAGGGCCUGAGAUGUUUGAGGGUGUCAUUUCUGAGAGGUGUCUUCCAUGAGGUAGAAAGAGGUCAGAUUUCUUCUCUCUACAAGGAGGGACUUUCUCACCUUGGUACAAGAAAAUGUCUACAGAAGUGGGAGGAGACAGAUCAUGCACAUUACCCCCACUGGGGCAGAAGACUUCGGGUUCCAAUAUUUGUCUGGGGGGAAGAAAGGUAGACUUGAAAGCAGCAAACAUCACUAGGUGUGCCAAUGCCAGUAAGCCUGUGGUCUGACUCAGCAGUGGGCAUUGAAUAAGACUAAAGAUUUUUUUCAUCUACUUUUCCCCAAGGUGACAAGGAUUGAAGGUUCCUAAGUGUGGUUUGAAUGGAUCAAUUUUUAAAGCUGAACUACCUCCUAUGAGGCAAAAAUGGCUGCCCUGGGCUGUUUAGAACCACACUUUCUUCUGUUUAGGUUUCUGCUCAGAAGAAAAUCAAUGACCUUCGAUGGAACUUUUAGACUCGGUGGUACCAUACAUAUAACCAAAUAAACUUACAGCAUUGAAACAGAAUAUUUCUGAAGUGGUUUCUAGGGAUUUGUUUUCUUUUUUAUUUUGCUCCUUUUAUUUAUUAGCCAUCAAUCAAAUGGCCCUCUCCUUCCGCCUUGCUCUCUGAUAGUCUGAGACUGGGGACUCAUGGGCACUCUAACCCUCCCUAUCAGUUGGGUCUGAGGCAACAGUAGGCAGCCUGCUCCUGUACUCCUUUAUUGCCCAAUAAACCCAAAGCACUGAGGCAUUUGUCCUGAGGGGGCCUCAGGCAUUGCCUGUCGUAAUGACUGAUAAAGGAGAAAUCACCUGAGGCCAAACCACAGAGCUGCAGUCUGGCAUUUCAGAAGCGUGGGAGAAAUAGACUCUAGCGUUAGAGAUGAGCUUGGGGAAUGCCUGGUCUUUCCCAUUUCGGAUGAGGGAACUGAGGCCUGCACCGCUGAAGAGAGCAUUGCCAUACCCCAACGCCAGAAUUCCAAAGUUGGCCAGACGCAUAGAAGAAGGAAACCAAGUUUAAGCCAAGCACAGCAGCGUGUACCUGUAAUCUCAACACUUGACACGGUAUGACAGGAAGAUUACAAGUUUGUGUCCUGGGCUACAUAGUGAAAACCUGUUUCAGGAUGCAAACCACAGAAAGAAAAACCUAUGCAUUCUGCAGGGAUAGCCUGACCUGGAGCGCACGGUGAGCACCAGUAGUAGUCUUUCCCCACUUCUGAUGCCUCUGCUGACCUCAGAUCGAAGACCAGUCCCACCGCAACCUCACGCGGGCAGCGCCCUCAUCACUCCAGGGCCAUCAGGGAACUUUAUCAGCUUCCUGGACUAGCCAGCCCACCCCGACCCCAUAUCACCAUCACCAUCAGCUCAUGCGGUGGAGACCCCAGAAUAGAAAGGCUACCCAAAUUCCUCCCCACGGCGGUCAGUGGGGACAAAGGAAGACAGUAAAGAGGCUUCACUGAUUUGUUCAAGAAA
Rattus norvegicus (Norway rat) is the source of this 57729-nucleotide non-coding RNA. The record is from RefSeq and is a predicted model, not a curated record. NCBI's taxonomy places the organism in Eukaryota, Metazoa, Chordata, Mammalia, Rodentia, Muridae.